RNAcentral lists this long non-coding RNA (78147 nucleotides) under Triticum aestivum (bread wheat). Its description in RNAcentral is "long non-coding RNA (TAES_LNC008548)". The stretch from base 4877 to 4991 matches the Rfam family "MIR1120/MIR1122 microRNA precursor family". The record is from RNAcentral. Lineage: Eukaryota; Viridiplantae; Streptophyta; Magnoliopsida; Poales; Poaceae.
ACAAACAAAGAAUGCCAUAAAUUCCAGAACCUGAAUGGGAGUAACUAAUUUAUCUAGUGGGAUGAGCGUGAUUCCAAUCUUUGCACAGAGAAAGCUUUAGUAGUUCUAUGCCAUUAUAGGGUCAGAGGACCGUAAGGUGUGUUAACAGACUUCCGUGUCUUCAAAAUCUAGGAUUUAUUAUGUAGUAUGACUGUAUGAAACAGAAUGGGUUUAUCUAAUUUCCAAGUUAAGAAUAUGCAAUCGGCAGGUAUCAUCAAAUUAGUAGUUUUGCUAGUUGCCAACUAUUUUAAAACUAGGAAGUUGCCCGAAAACUAAGAAUAUAUGUAAUUAAAGAGAACAUGCGAUUCAAGAUUCAGAAUCCAGAUCAAAUUAGCAAAUUGCUGGAAAAGAAGCUCAAUUAGCCAUUAGAGGACCUAAGAUGUGUGAACGCUGUGAAAUUAUAUAUUUAUAAGAAUAUGUAACUGAAGAUUCCAUAAUCCAUAUCAAAUUAGCAGUUCGGUGAAAAGAAGUUCAAAUUAGCAACUACAGGACCAUAAGAUGUGUGAACACCAUGAAAUUUUAGAUUUAAUAAGAAUAUGUAAUGGAAGAUUCCAUAAUCCAGAUCAAAUUAGCAGUUCGCCAUAAGAGAUAAAAUUAGCCAUCGGAGGACCAUAGAGAUGUGUGAGCGCUUUGUGUCUUCAAAUCCAGGAUGAAUGAAAUACGAAACAAACUGCCAUAUGUUGAAAGUAAUCAGCAGGAUUCAUCAUCAAAUUAGCCAAAGUGUUUAAGAAUCAUCAAAUUAGCCACUGUUUUGCUAGUUGUCACUUUAAAGUAGGAAGUUCCCCAGCAAACCGAGAAUCCAGAUCUCACUGGAGAAGCACCAAUGAGAAGAACAUCACUUCUGAAAAUCAACUCCAUACCAACAAACCAGAAUCAUAUUCAGUGGACAUGAGCGGAGUGUUCAGGGCAAAAAUUUUGUUCAAGCUUCCAGUUCAGAACCUUCCAAUUCCCCAUUGUUUAUAGUAUAUAUAGCAAUAACUCCUAACCUCUUUCUGCAUAUCAAGUCAUCAGUAUUACCCUACUACACAGGAGGCCACUACUGUUAAACCAACACAAGUGCGAGGGUGGGAUCUUUCUUUAUCACCAAAGUUAAAAAUAUGUGCACACCAAAAGUUGAUUUUGUGUCAUAAGAUGAACCCAAAGAAUGUAUAUACAUAAUAUACAUAAACCAAGUGCAAUCAUGUAUAUAUGUAGAAUAGUAGACCAACAAAUCCAAGUGUAACCAAUUCAUGUGUAUAUAUAUAAUAUGCAUUAACAUUUUAACUGCAUUCAGAGCUCAUGUACAUGCGAUCUUUUACUUCCUACUACGUGAUAUAUUUGCAAAUUGAAAGAUACAAGCAGCCAAAUAUCAAAACAAAACUUCCUGAAACAGUAUGGUAACCAGGUAAUUAAUAGCCAAACCAAACUUUGAUAAUCUGCUAUACAGACUGAGUACGAACUGAUAUUUCCAUUUUGGAAGACUUCUAGCAUUUUCUUGAUUCGAGCAAAAGAUGAGAUCAUAUUCCAUCCAAGUUGGAAGAGGAUACCGUAACCAGUAAGAUUUUUUUUUAUCAUAUACCGUAACCAGUAAGAUGGCACAACAGAAACCUAGUAAGAUGCUUCAGGACAGUUGAAAGAAUCAGAUGCACACACUACCAACUCCAAGCUGCACCAAAGAUAUGAGGCCACUGAAUGCAAGUUCAAACUGAAAACUACCACAAAGACCAUAUCAUUAUGCUUCAGGAUCAGUAAUCAGAGGUCAAAACCAUCAGGGAAGUCCAUUUGCUUCACCAAGUCCCCGCGCUAACUGACUAUCCAACUCUACAAUCUUGCAAUAAAACCUCCAACAAUGCAAAUCAAUUAACGGCCCAAAUAUAAUCAGCAUACUUCAAGUUUCUUCAAGGAAAGUCAGACCAUAGUGAAAUCUGGUAAAUCAGUUGAAACAAGCAUGGAGUCCAGGUGUAAGUUUUUGUGGUUGAAGGAAGAUUCCAAACGAAGAUCCCAAACAGCCAUUAGACAAACAUAAAUCGAAGAACUUAAUGUAUAGCCACUCAAAUCUGACGUCACCAAGCACAGUUGAGGAAUCCAGUAAACCAGUGUGACCAAGCAUGGGAAACUGACCUGCCUCGAGUCCCCUUCACCAUACGUUCACACACCACAUGGAGCUUCACUCCCAAACCAGAUCAAGAUCCAGUACUGCGAUAACAAAUGAAACAAACAGACUGUCUACGAGACACUGACCUCCAUGUACAGAGCAAAGGUUUGGGCCCAAACUCCUAAUAACAAUUACUUGGCCAACCCACACACAAGACCAAGAGAACACAGGGAUCAAGAGUACAGAUAACAAGCAUGGAGAGCUAGUCAUUGCCCACAUGGCCUGGGAUAAAGAAAAAUCUGCAACCAUAGGAAGGGCAGGGGCAAAAACCUAUAUCAGAGAGAUGGCCAAGUAACUACAUGAAAAAUAAAAUAGGAAGGUAAGAAUCUUUUUCGGUUGUAGGAUGUGUCAUUAGUUGAAAGCUCUGGAUUAUCCUUAUAUUCGUGCUGCAUAUGAAUCUGUAUUUAAAAUAUUGUCUAGUAAGAUAAGUUAUAGGUUAUGUAUAAGUUACAAUGAAUUGAAACGACACUAGUAGAUUUAGAAGAUCAGUAGACGGAUUCAUCGUCAGGCUGGACAGGAGUUCGUCAACUACAUCCUGCAGCGAGCAAGAGACCGUUUCUAUAAAAAAAUUGUUAGGGGAAAUGCUGCUUAUAAAUAGCAAAAGCAUGAAUGAUGAGUGGGAACAAGUAAAGCCUGUCUAGGGUCAGGUAUGGAUGAUGGAGGACAACAACGCCAGUUCCAAACUGAAGUUAUAUCCUUUCCAAGUCAGUAUCUGCAAGAGCUGAUAAUUACCAAGGCAAAGAGAACCUAAUGUCUAGAGUUCAAUUAGAGUAAAAAAGGUUGAAAAAGUUUUAGCCACAGAAGGAACCGCCAUGCCGAGGAAAAAUAGGACCGCCUACUAAGCCAUAUCAUUCCAAUUUCUGGAGAGCCACCAAGAAAUAGUUUAAAUCAGAAUUGUGGAGAACCAAAACAGAACAGUGGAGACGAAAGAGUAAAACAGAGGGAGUGAUAAUUAUCCAAAUGCAGAGCAGCAAGAUGCGUCGCUCCCGCUAAGCCAUAUAAUUCCAAUUUCUGGAGAACCACGAACAUAUCCAAAUAUCCUGCACAUAGGCUCAGACUUCCUAAAUAUAUCCUGCAACUGAUACACGCAGAAGACCAGCACAGGAAUCAAGAGUACAAACCAAACGAUUUUAACAGAUUCCGACUCACUACCAGCAUGGUUUGGGAUUAAUCUGCAACCAAAUGGAGGGUAGAAGGAAAAACCUAAAUCAAAGACAUGAACAAGUAGCUACGUGAAACAAAAAUAAGAGGUGAGUUAAAACUGGAGCAGCCUUUUUCACUGUAAGAUGUUCCAUUAGUUUGAAUCUCCAUUGUUGAACCUUGGCAGAUAAAUCUGAAUUCAAAAUAUUGUCUGGUAAGAUAAUUUUAAAGGCUGACUAAGUUCUGAUGAAUUGAGAAAAUAGUUGAUUUAGAAGAACUGCAAACAGAUUCAAGUCGGCAUCAGGUUGGACGAGUUCAUCAAGUACGAUCUGCAACGAGGAAGAUACCUUUCUAUAAGUUACAAGAGGAAAACUAGGCUCAGCUAAAGCAUGCAUCAAAUGUUGAGGUAAAGGGUAAGUAAGCCUGUCUUGGCCGGAAAGUCAGGUAGACAACACUGGUUCCAAUUAUUUCGCCCCCAAGUCAGCAUCUGCACGAGCUGAGAAUUACCAACCAAGGCAAAGAAAAUAACAUUUUGAAAGUUCAAUUAUCAAGGGAGGAUAAAAGGUCGGAUAUGUUGGACCACAGAAAGAACCACCAUGCCGAGGAAAAAUGGGUCACCCGCUAAGCCAUAUAAUUCCAAUUUCUGGAGAACCAGCAGAAAUUCUAAAUCAGAAUUGUCGGGCAACUAAUUGAGCUAUGGAGAAGAAAUUGUCGGGCCUUAGGCAUUUGCCCGAAGAUCUUGAACCGAGGGUAGGAGGUCAGAGAUCUCCACGGCAGCGCCUCCAAACCGCUGCCGAUGAGCAACAACGGGGCAGGUCUUCACCCGGAGCAUCUCGAACACCACCUCCACGCGCCGCAAUCCGCUCACCCGCUCGCCUCCCAUGCAACAACCGCGCUAUCGCCGUAUGGGAGCCACCACGUAUCUCGCCGGCACCAUGUCGGGCCAGAUCCGGCCGCAACCGGAUCACCAUCUAGCCUCACGCCGGAACCCCGGCUGCCUUCAGCCACCAAACGGACGAGGCCGCCGGGCUAGCAAGCCAGCCAGAUUUGCAGCACCAAGCCGGGAGGGGGCGUGCCACCCUGCCCCAUCCCGCAGUGUGGAGCUGCCGACCCGAAGCACAGGCAGCCCGCAGCAGCCGCUACACCGCCAAGAGGGCGCCGUCGAACAUGCGUAAGCCGCCGACUGCCACCCCAUCUUCCAGAUCCAUGCGCCAGGAGCCACCAAGCCGCCACCAUCCGCCGGAUCCACAGCGGCAGGAGCUGCCAGUGCACCACCGAGACGCUGCCGAGCCGAGCACCACCAUCCCGCGCAGACCGCAGGCAACGCUCGUCGUCGCGCCGGAUCCGCACCUGGCCGCGCCCGCCCACAGCUCCGCGACGCAAAGGGAGACGGCCGCCGCCAGGAGCAGUCCUCCCGCCGCCGGCACCGCACGGGCUUUGCCCGAUGGUGGCCGGGGGGAGGGGGGAGGUGGCCGCUGGUUAACGGCUGGGGCGCCCCAAUGCCACCCGGGUGCGAGAGGCAAAAUAGUGCCAUACUUGCGGCGAUUUGGAUGAGAAGAAGAUGAUGUACUCCCUCCAUUCGAAAUUACUUGUCGCGGAAAUGGAUGUAUCUAGACGUAUUUUAGUUUUAGAUACAUCCAUUUCCGAGACAAGUAAUUCUGAACGGAGGAAGUACGUAUAUCCUAAGAAGUCUAUCGAUAUUUUUGUUAUUCAUGGAUCAAUGCAUUUUGGUCCUAUGCUUUAGAAAGGAAAGACAGUUUGAACCCCACAACGGUUAGGGUCACUUAUGCCGAAUAAUCCAAAAGUUCCAGGACAUCAGCAUCCACUCGACAAACAACUGCGGACAUUCUACUCGCCAAUGAUUCAACAACGUAUAUUAACAUCUGCGCUGAUCAAAUAUUUAAGAUACAGCGCGAUGAAAUUACGAGACGAGACAGACACUGUUGUUGGAAUUUGUAUACAGCCGAAACUGCAGCUAACAUCUACAGUAGUGCGCAAAGCUUGACUGACGGUGUGUCUAACUGAAAGAAACAAGGGCACGUACCUCUACACACGAGGUGAUGAAGGACGUCUCCAGAGGGGAUCGCAGCAAGGCCGGUCCUGAGGUUUUGAGAGCCCGGGCGAAACUCAAACUCGGGGCCCUUUAAUAUAGACAUCAUGACAAUAAAAUUGUUGGUCUGGCAAACGGCGGUUUCCUGAAAAUGGCAACAACAUCGGUCGAUUUUCCUAAGGAGAACACGAGGCGUGAACGGGAGUGACGUGGCCGACCGCAGCAGCUGGGCAAGGCCCACGUUGUCGCGGGUAGCAGGGUCUCGGGGGUAGACACCAGGCCGAAAAAGAGGGGUAGUAGAGUGAUGGUCGGAACGGCGGCAGACCGACAACGCACGAGGUGGCUAUAGCAAGCCGGCGCGUCAGCGUAACACAAGCUGAGGGUGAUGGUGGACAGCAGUACAUCCAGGGACGGAGUUAGAAAAUUGGCAUGGAGGGGGCUAGACUAUAAGCAAUUGGCUUUAUUAUUUUUAUUAAUUACCUCUCUUCCUAAUCGUGUCUUCCAAGUACAAAUGGAUAACUGAAAAUUUCCUAAUUAAUUAUUGAUGUUUGUAACUUCUAAAAUUCAUCCCACUUCUGUAGUUUUAUAGUCACAAAUUAAUCUAAUGUAAAAAAUAGAGCUGAGGCGCAAUCAAAUUAGAUAUAGCGUAAACUAACCUUUCUUCCUUAGACCAUCACUGUCAUGCUUAUUCGUGUGGGUGACACCAGCCGGCCGGCCAUGCGUGGUGCCCCUGCAGUUCUGCAUUGCUGCCCUUCUCACCCUCUAUGGAUCCACUGGUAUCAGCUUGAUCAGGCGCUCUGCUGAAUCGAUGUCCAUUGGCAGGCAGUCGGCGAACGUGCGUUUGUGCGUGUGCUACAAGGACUUGGAGUCCAGAUCGCGGAGAACGGAGUUGCGGACUUCAUCGGCGACUCGGCGUCGGCGCAUCGCGACUCCACCUGCGACUCUCGGUCGCGGCCAGUCAGCUAGGGUUAACCUGAAUCGGGAUCGGGAAGAAGAAUCGGGCCACCCGCGACUCACGAAGACACCGUGUGAUCGGUGUAAUCAGCGGCUACAUGCCUUCCUAGCCCAUGGGCUACCUGCCUACGUAACAGGCUUUUGGGGGGCCCUGGAUUUGGGGGGCCCGGGGCGGCCGCCCCCCCUGCCCCCCCCUCAGGGCCGGCCUCGCAGUGGUUGAAGCUUCUUCAGUUUUGUCGGACUUGAAUUUCUACUCUGAAAAUGAACCACCAUAUAUCUGCAUCCCUGACUUUCUUAUGGGCGCAAAAUGAGAUUGUGUGAACGGUAACCACAACUUGACAAGGACAACCAAUAAUGUACGUAUUUCCGAACACGCCCUGAACUUGCUUUUACAGAUUACAAAAAUUCCUCCGCUAACCUCAUUAACUCAACUUGUAAUAAUGUACUCGUAUUUCCCAACUCCUGAAUCACUGCUAUGAUUACCACUACCAUCCAAGUGCAAUAUCAGGACCAGUCACGCAAACGUACCUGCUAGUUUACUGUAACUGAAAUUAUCAGGGAACUCUGUGAACCAUCCCCACUUGCUUGCAUCUGCUACCCUUUUACCCUACUGCGGAUCUCUUGUCCAGCAAUACCACAGCAUUUUCUAGGAGACCUUUCAUGCAAGGCUUCCUACACACUCACGACUUCCCUUCGGGGAAGGUAAGUAAAACACUGACCUUGUACAGCUAGAAAUUCAGCAAGUUGUUGACAGUCCCGACUAACCAAAAUUACCCUUGCCCAGAUUCUUCAUAGCAAAGGUCUGUGCAGCUUCAGUAUUCGACUAGGACAGUCUGUGCAGCUUCUACUCGCUUAAUUCGCUGCUACUCAAUGUAAAAUAUUUGGGCACCAUGACAGUUCUAAUGCAACCGAUACAGAGGAGCUAACUGCAGUUCCCUCCACAUUUUCUCAUCCGGGCUUGGGACCGGCAAAGGCAGUGUUAAACUACUCCUACUUAAAACACAAAAAUUAGCAAACACUACAAACAAUUAUUCAGGUAAGCAUACAAGCCACGUAAUCAACCAAAGGAAGCACUGACACCACACACGAUUGGCAAUAAAUAUUCACGCAACAUUUUCGGAAGAUCAUCACACAGACAUAGGGCACAAACAAAGAAUGCCAUAAAUUCCAGAACCUGAAUGGGAGUAACUAAUUACACUAGUGGGAUGAGCGCGAUUCAAGUCUUUGCACAGGGAAAGCUUUCGAAGUUUUAGCCAUUAUAGGGUCAGAGGACUGUAAGAUGUGUGAACAGAUACUUCUGUGUCUUUAAAAUCUAUAUAUAGGAUUUAUUAUUUAGUAUGAAACAGAAUGGGUUUGUCCAAGUUUCAAGUUACGAAUAUGCAAUCGGUAGGAAUCAUCAAAUUAGUACUUCUGCUAGUUGCCAACUAUAUUAAAACUAGGAAGUUGCCAGAAAACUAAGAAUAUAUGUAACUCAAGAGAAUAUGUGGUUCAAGAUUCAGAAUCCAGAUCAAAUUAGCAGUUCACCGGCAAAGAAGGUCAAUUAGCCAUUAGAGGAUGUGUGAACGCUAUGAAAUUAUAGAUUUAAGAAUAUGUAAUUGAAGAUUCCAUAAUAAUCCAUAUCAAAUUAGCAGUUUGACAGUAAAGAAGGUCAAAUUAUCCAUUAGAUGACCACAAGAUGUGUGAACGAUAUGAAAUUGUCUAUUUAAUAAGAAUAUGUAAUGGAAGAUUCCGUAAUCCAGAUCAAAUUAGCAGUUUGCCGUAAAGAGAUCAAAUUAGCCAUUGGGGGACCGUAGAGAUGUGUGAGCAUUUUGUGUCUUUAAAUCCAGGAUGAAGUACGAAACAAACUGCCAUAUGUUGAAAGUAAUCAGCAGGAUUCAUCAUCAACUUAGAGUGUGUUCAGGAAUCAUCAAAUUGGCCAGACUGUUCUGCUAGGUGUCAAUUUAACCAAACCGAGAAGAUGCAUUGAAGAAUCCAGAUCUCACUGGAGAAGCACCAAUGAGAAGAACAUCACUUCUGAAAAUCAACUCCAUACCAACAAAGCAGAAUCAUAUUCAGUGAACAUGUUCAGGGCAAAAUAUUUGUUCAAGCUUCCAAGCUCAGAAGCUUCAACUAUCUAUUGUUUUAGCAUAUAUAGCAAUAACUCCUAACCACUUUAUGCAUAUCAAGUCAUCAUUAUUACCCAACUACAGGAGGCCAACCAACACAAGUGCGAGCGUGGGAUCUUUCUUUAUCACCAAAGUAAAAAAUAUGAGCACACCAAAAUUUGAUUUUGUGUCAUAAGAUGGACCUAAACAACGUAUAAUCAUGGACAACAGUAUGUAGAAUAUGACAAAUCCAAGUAUGACCAAUUCAUAUAUAUAUAUAUACAUAUAUAUAUAUAUAUAUAUAUAUAUAUAUAUAUAUGCAUUAACAAUUUUUACUGUGUUCAGAGCUCAUGUACAUACGAUCUUUACUUCCUAUUGGGUGAUAAAUUUGCAAGUUGAAAGAUACAAGCAGCCAAAUAUCACACUUCCUGAAACAGUAUGGUAACCAGGUAAUUUAUAGUCAAAUCAAACUUUGAUAAUCUGCUAUACAAACUGAGUAUGAACUGAUAUUUCCAUUUCGGACCCUUAUUUGAGACUUCUAGCAUUUUCUUGAUUCGAGCAGAAGAUGAGAUCAUAUUCCAUCCAACCACAUGCAAGUUGAAGAAGAUACCAUGACCAGUAAAAUGGCAGAACAGAAACCAAGUAAGAUGCUUCAGGACAGUUGAAAGAAUCAGAUGUGCACACUACCAACUCCAAGCUGCACCAAAGAUAUGAGGCACUGAAUGCAAGUUCAAACUGAAAACUACCACAAAGACCAUGGCAUUAUGCUUCAGGAUCACUAAUCAGAAGUCAAAACCAUCAGGGAAGCCCAUUUGCUUUCACCAAGUCCCAGUGCUGACUGACUACCCAACUCUACAAUCUUGCAAUAAAACCUCCAAUAAUGCAAAUCAAUGAACGGCCCAAAUAUGACAGGCAUACUUAUCUUCAAGGAAAACCAGACCAUAAUGAAAUCUGGGAAAUCAGUUGAAGCAAGCAUGGAGUCCAGGUUUAAGUUUUUGUGGUCAAGGAAGACUCCUCCAUCCAGAACGAAGCUCCCAAACAGCCAUCAGACAAACAUAAAUCAAGGAACUUAAGGUAUAGCCACUCAAAUCUGACGUCACCAAGCACAGAUGAGGAAUCCAGUAAAUCAAUGUGACCAAACAUGGGAAACUGACCUGCCUCAAGUACCCUUCACCGUUCACACACCAUAUGGAGCUUCAUUUCCAGACCAGAUCGAGAUCCAGUCCUGCAAGCUAAAUUGUAGAGGAGGCCAUAACAAAUUAAACAAACAGACCGUCUACAAGAAUCUGACCUUACUCCAUGUACAGAGCAAAGGUUUGGGCGCAAACUCCUAACUAUUAUAUCUUGCCAACCCACACUCGCAGAAGACCAAGAGAGCACAGGGAUCAAGAGUACAGAUAACAACCAUGGAGAGCUAGUCAUUGCCCACAUGGCCUGGGCUAAAGAACAAUCUGCAACCAUAGGAAGGGCAGGGGCAAAAACCUAUAUCAAAGAGAUGGCCAAGUAACUAAUAAAUGAAAUAAAGAAAAUAGGAAGGUAAGAGUCUUUUUCGGUUGUAGGAUGUGCCAUUAGUUGAAAGCUCUGGAUUAUCCUUAUAUUUUUUUUGCAUAUGGAUCUGUAUUUAAAAUAUUGUCUUAUAAGAUAUUUCAUAGGUUAUAUAAGUUAAAAGAAUUGAAACGAUACUAGUAGAUUUAGAAGAUCAGUAGAUGGAUUCACCGGGUUGGAAAGGAGUUCUUCAACUACAACCUGCAGCGAGCAAGAGGCCUUCUCUAUAAAUUUUUGGUUAGGGGAAAUGCUGCUUAUAAAUAGCUAAAGCAUGGAUGAAACAAUGUGGGAACAAGUAAAAGCCUGUCUAGGGUCAGGUAUGAAUGAUGGACGACAACACCGCCAGUUCCGAACUGCAGUUUCCUUUCCAAGUCGGUAUCUGCAAGAGCUGAGAAUUACUAAGGCAAAGAAAACCUAAGGUCUAGAGAGUUCAAUUAUAGAGUAAAAAAGGUUGAAAAGUUUUAGCCACAGAAGGAACUGCCACGACGCAAAAUAGGACCGCCUUCUAAGCCAUAUUAUUCCAAUUUCUGGAGAGCCACCAACAAAUAGUUCAAAUUAGAAUUGUGGGAAACCAAAACAGAACAGUGGAGACGAGAGAGUAAAAGAGAGGGAGUGAUAAUUAUCCAAACGCAAAGCAGCAAGAUGUGUCUCUCCGCUAAGCCAUAUAAUUCCAAUUUCUGGAGAGCCAACAUAUCCAAAUAUAUAUCCUGCGGCCCAGACUUCCUAAAUAUAUCCUGCAACUGAUACACGCAGAAGACCAGCACAGGGAUCAAGAGUACAAACAACAAAUCGAUCCAGAGAGAGAGAUAGACCGCAAACCAAAUGAUUUAACAGAUUCCGACUCACAACCAACAUGGUUUGGGCUCAAUCUGCAACCACCAAAGGGAGGGUAGAAAGAAAAACAUAAAUUAAAGACAUAAACAAGUAGCUACGUGAAACAAAAGAUAAGAGGUGGGUUAAAAUAGUCUUUUUCAUUGUAGGAUGUUCCAUUAGUUUGAUUCUCCUUUGUUGAACCUUUGCAGAUAUGUAUUCAAAAUAUUUCCUGGUAAGAUAAUUUUAAACGUUAUCUAAGUUAUGAUGACUUGAGGAAAUAGUAGAUUUAGAAGAACUGCAAACAGAUUCAACUCAGCACCAGGUUGGACUUGAGUUCAUCAACUACGACCUGCAACGAGGAAGAUGCCUUUCUAUAAGUUAAGAGGAAAACUAGGCUCCGCUAAAGCAUGCAUCAAAUGCUGAGGUGAAGGGUAAGUAAGCCUGUCUCGGCCGCGAAGGUCAGAUAGACAACACUGGUUCCAAUUAUUUUGCUUCCAAGCCAGCAUCUGCAAGAGCUAAGAAUUACCAACCAAGGCAAAGAAACAAAUGUCUAGAAAGUUCAAUUAUCAACGGAGGACAAAAGGCCAGAUAUGUUGGGCCACAGAAAGAACCGCCAUGCUGAGGAAACAUAGGAUCACCCGCUAAGCUGUAUAAUUCCAAUAUCUGGAGAACCAGCAACAAAUCUAAAUCAGAAUUGUUGGACAACUAAUUGAGCUGAGAAGAAAUUAAGAAGAGAGUAAUGAUCAUCCAAACGCAGGUCAGCAAGAAGAUAGGUCGCUCCCGCUAAGCCAUAUAAUCCCAAUUUCUGGACAACCAGCAAGAGAUCCAAAUCAGAACUGUGGGGGACUAAAGUUGAAUUGUGGAGAAUGAAUUAAAUAGAGGGGUUCAUAAUCAUCCAAACACUGAUCAACAAGAAGAUAGGUUGCUCCUGCUAAACGCCCAAUUUCUGGAGAACCACAAACGAAUUCAGAACUGCCAAUGACUAAAUUGUACUGUGCAAACCAAAUAAAUUGAAUUGGGAUGAAAUUCAUUAUCCAAAUGCAGAUCACAAGUUUCAGGUUGGCAAGAGAUCCUAAGCUUCAUUAUCCAAUCAAUCAAAACGACGAACAGAAGCCAAACCUCCACCCUAUGAUUCAUCUGUGCAGAACUACUACACUCCUGCAUCUGCUGCAAGCAAAGGAGCACAAACACACACCAAAAGUGCGAUCAGCUGCUACAAUAAGAAUGCACCAGGACCUCUAAUCCACCUCAUAUUAGCUGAUGAUGCGUGAUGAGAACCAGAAGACAACACCGUCGAUAGCCAUUCAAAUCUGACCUGCUCAAAUCCCCUUCGACAUACAACACCACAGAGAUCUCCACAUUCCAGAUCCAAUCCUGCAACCAAUGUGUGGAGGAACACAACUAAACCAAACAAACCGUUGAUAGAACACUGACCUGACUCACUGUACAGAGAUUUGCCUUCCUAAAUAUGGCCUGCAGUCGACAGGAUAAGAGUACAGAUAACGAAUUGAAACGCAUAGAGAUAGAUUGCAAACCAAACGAUUUUAACAGAUUUCGACUGACUACCAGCACUCUCUGGGCUAAAAUAAAUCUGCAACCACAGGGGCAGAAGCAAAAAAGCCUAAAUCAAAGGCAUGAAGAAGUAGCUACAUGAUAUAAAAAAAAGAGGCAAGAGUUAAAAAUGGAGGAGUCUCUUUUUUGUUUGUAGGUUUUGCCAAGUUUGAAGCUCCAUUCGUGCACCUUUGAGAUAAAUCUGAAUUCAAAAUAUUGCCUAGUGAGAAGAUCUUAAAGGUUAUCUAAGUAUAAUGAUGAAUUGAUUAGAAAAAACUGCAAACAGAUUCAACUCAGCAUCAGGUUGGACUUUGCAUUCGUCAAACCUGCAACGAGCAAGAUAUGCCUCCGUAAAUUAUUGGAAAACUAGGCUCAACUAAAGUAUGCUUCAAACGAGGAGGUAAAAGUUAUAAGGAAGUUUGGGCUGAGAAGGUCAGGUAGACAGCACCGAUUCCAAUUAUAUCCCUUCCAAGAUGGUCACUGUUUCUGCAAGAGCUGAGAAUGACAAACUAAGGCAGAGAAACUUGUCUGGUGUUUUCUAAUUAUGUUAUUAAUAGAGUAAGAAAAUGUUUGAGCCACAGAAGAACCGCCGUGCCGAGGGAAAACUGGACCACCCGCUAAGCCGUAUAAUUCCAACUUCCGUUGUACCAGCAACAAAUCCAAAAUCCAAAUCAGAAUUGCGUGGAGACUAACUGAAGUGGAGAGAAGGAAAUAAACAGAGUGUAAUGAUUAUCCAAACACAGGUCAUGAAGGAUUAAAGUCGCUCCCGGUAAGCCGUAUAAUCCCAAUUUCUGGACAAUCAUCAACAACAGAUCUAAAUCAGAACGGACUAAAAUUGAGCCAUGUAGAUGAAGGAAUUAAACAGAGGGGGUAAUAAUAUAAUAAUCAUCCAAACACAAGUCAAGAUAGGCCGCUCCCUCCCCCUAUGCCUUGUAAUCCAAUAUCUGGAGAAGCACCAACAAACGGGAAUCAGAAUUGCCGUUGACUAAUGUGCGAACCGAGAAACUAAACUGGGAGGGAUUUAGUAUUUAUUAUCCAAACGCGGAUCGUAGGUUGCAGGUUGGCAAGAGACCCUAAGCUUCAUCACCCAAAAGAUCUGACCAUGUCAUCAGAAUAAACAACCGGUGAACUGUAACCAACCAACCAGUCAGAAUAAUCAUGAACAGAAAUCAAACCUCCACCAACUCCACGAGGGCCUUGAUUAAUCCACCUCGUACCAACGAAUUAUUUGGCGGAAUAAACCACAGCGGUCGGGGAACCAGAAGAUCACGCGGGCCAUAUCCAUUUGAUUUGAAAGCUGGAAUAUAUCACGGACGAACGCAGGGGAUGGAACCAAGGAAGCGAUCUGAGAGAGCACGGGAAACUGACCUUGCCUCGGCCUCCGGCUCCACAAUCAGAGCUCCAAUUCCAAAAACCAGGCUCGACGAUCCUGCAACCAACGCGCGCGGAUGCGAACACGAAUACGAGGAACACAGGAUCCACGGUUGCAAGCAAACAGAAGCGGACACGCGAAACAGACUCUGAGAUAGACUCGCAAACCAGAUGAAUGAAUCCCCCGACCCAUCGCUUCCCGGGCUCGCACGGAGGCGGACGAGACGGGCCGGAUUGGAAUGCCCUGCGAGCACAUCAAGGCAACGGCGACGGCGAGUGAAUGAAAUCAAAUCAAACGCGAUUCGAAACGAAUCGGGAAUUGAUGGACAAGGGGUAGGAGACGGUCGCGGAGACGCGAGAAGAUGGCUCGCUCAGGCGAUCGAGGCCGGAGGCGCGGCCGGAACGAAAGCUCCGGAGGAGAAGAGAGGAGGGCAGAGCGCGGGGUGGAGGGGGCGCGCCUGGGGCGCCUUUUGUAGCCGGCGCAGAGGCGGUGCGGGAGGGGGAGGCGGCCUGGCGCUGGCGCCAACCGGUUCCUUACCGGACCGGACACGGCUUCGCCUCGCUGAUUAGGCAAGGGAUUAAUCAGGCUUUCUGGUCACAGGUGGGCGGCGGAAAUCAAACGGGAGUGGACCUGGUGAGAUCCGGACCGGGUUUGGUUCGGGUGGGCGGGUGGCUGGCAGGUCGGCAAAGCAUCGGGUUGGGACGUGGGCCACACCGACGGAACGCGGAAUUUCUAGGCUGCUCGCUGCUCGGGGGUUGCGACGGGCCAUGUGAUGUGAGGCUGACCGUGUCCGCGAGUGCGAGCCGCGACGAACAGGUCCGUGGAUGGGAUGAGAACGUGGAACAGGCGGUGCCGUGGAUGGGAACGUGGUCCGCGGAAAUAUCUGCCGUGUUUACACAAUCAACGUGCUCGCUAGCUUUUUUAUUUUUUAUUUUUGGAAAAUGAUAAAAAAACAAACGUCUGAUUUUUGAAGUUUCAGCCCUAAGCAACUCCAACCUGCCGACCCAAACGGACGGUGCUUUUACCCGCUUUUCCUUUAUUUGGGUCGGUCUGCCGGACACCCAUGUCCGCUUUCGCUUUGGGGUCGGCGCUUACGCCCAACACUGUCCCGACCCAUUUUUGAGCCGGCGCGAAAAAAAACCGCGUUCGCAAACAUUUAAAAAAUAAAAACGUUAAUUAAACAUUAAUGUCGGCUACAAAGGUCGAUGAGAAUUAAAUAAAACUACAAACUACUAGGAAGUGCGCUGCCCUAAAAGGCCUCGUCGUCAUCGUCGAGCCUGGUGAGGUCGAUGAGCGUCGGCGUCGGGCCACCCAACGGGAACGUCGUCGACCAGGACAUCGUCCGCCGCCGGCUGGGCUGGCCCACCGCGGGCAAGACAUACCUCCUCCUCCGCCUCGCGGCGCUUCUCCUUCGCGUCGCGCUCCAGCUGCUCGAGGUACUCGCCCUCGCGACGCUCCUCAGCCAGCCUUUGCUGCCGCCAUUGCUCGAGGUACGUCUGCUCCCGCGCAGGGGGCGCCCCCAACCAGACCGGUGGCGCGCUGACCCACUUGCGCACCACCCCAGUCCAUGAGUAGUGCUCGAUGGGGGUCGGCAUCGGCUCGGCCUUGACGGGGGACAACGCCCUCAAAGGCGGCAGGACCCAGUCGCCGGCCACGGAGAGUGCCACGGCCUCCGCAAUGCGUGCCUGGUACGCCUCCUCCUCCUCCCCCUUGCGCCGCUCCUCCUCGCUUUCAUAGAGGACUGCCGCCAGCGUCGCCUAGUAGGCGGCCUCCGCCUCAUGGUCCUCGUCAUGCUCGACGAGGGCCGGCGGCGGGGAGCCAUGCCGCACGUCGCGGACACCGCGCCUCCUAGCCUCUCAUGCUCGAACGCGAACCAGUGCUCCCAAGUGGGAGAGUCGAACACGUAGGUGGGGGCACGAUGCUGCUCCGGCGUCAGCAGCUGCCACCGGGGUCGAAUCUCCUCCGCGUGCGCCCGCGCCAACCGCGACGCCGCCGCCGGCACUGGGAACCUCCUCCAUCGUGCGCCUGUGUCAGUCGUCUGGCAGCUUCACAUCGGGGUAGGGAAGGGGGGACGCGGUGCUUCCAGUGCCACUUCGCCUGGUGCACUGGCACAUUGAUGCGCUGCCGCGCCCAGCGAGAAGACGCCAACGGGGGAAACAGGUGGCGGGGGGCUUUCCCUUGCCCUUGCCGGAGAAGAAGCCCAUCACGGUGGCUAGGGUUUGUCGCUGACGAGGGAGCAAAGUGGGUUGUUGAGAUGGGGACGGGGGCCUCCGGAAGCGGAUGAGGACGGUUCACGACCGCAGGCUCGGGAUUAAAAAAGGUCGACCGCUGUCACUGGCGCGUGGGCCCGCGGUGGGUGCUUGUCAUUAAUAAAGACGACCGCGAUAGCUAAACGGCCGCCAGGUGGGAACACAGCGGACACCGAGAGGGCGUGCGGCGUGUCCACGUCGACGCAUUUCAUCCGCGAAUGGGUCCGCACAGACGCGAAGCGGACGCGUUUUGGGAAUGCAUCAGCGUGUUGGGCCAGCACAUUUCUCCACGGCGACCCAAACAGACGGUGGCGGGCAAAAUGGGUACCUGCGUUGGAGUUGCUCUAACAUUGUAAGGACCGUUGAAUUGUAGUACGAAUCUUGAAGCAAGAACGAUCAGCCACGUCAGCGAAGGAUAUUGUCGGUGUCAAAACCGACGGAUCUCGGGUAGGGGGUCCUGAACUGUGCGUCUAAGGUCGAUGGUAACAGGAGACGGGGGACACGAUGUUUACCCAAGUUCGGGCCCUCUCUAUGGAGGUAAUACCCUACUUCCUGCUUGAUUGAUCUUGAUGAAUAUGAGUAUUACAAGAGUUGAUCUACCACAAGAUCGUAAUGGCUAAAACCCUAGAAGUCUAGCCUAUGGGAUUAUGAUUGUGUCCUAUGGACUAAACCCUCUGGUUUAUAUAGAAACUGGAGGGGGCUAGGGUUGUACAAGGUCGGUUACAGAGAAAGGAAUCUACAUGUCGAAUCAUCAAGCUUGCCUUCCACGCAAAGGAGAGUCCCAUCCGGACACGGGAAGAAGUCUUCUGUCUUGUAUCUUCAUAGCCCAACAGUCCGGCCCAUGUAUAUAGUCCGUCCGUCCGAGGACCCCUUAAUCCAGAACUCCCUCAGUAGCCCCUGAACCAGGCUUCAAUGACGAUGAGUCCGGUGCGCAAAUUGUCUUCGGCAUUGCAAGGCGGGUUCCUUCUCCGAAUACUUCAAAGUAGACUUCGAACACAAGAAUCGUGUCCGGCUCUGCAAAACAAGUAGCACACACAACCGUAGAGAGUAUAAUAUUUCACGGGCCCAAUCCGCUGACAACUUUUCGUAGCGUGACAUCACGUCACCGCCCGGUCAUUAUACGAACUGUUUUUUUAGCCUGCCGCUUCAUAUUUUGAGGUGCAGUUUUAUUGGCCCAUCUUGUCAAAGCAGAGAUUGUAUCCUCUUAUUACGGGAUUCUCAUCAAUACGGGUGUUGGUAACCCAACCAUUCCGUUGGCAUGAUUCCUUGGGAAUAGGCAUGUUUUAAGGCCUAGGAGGGACGUCUGAUAUUCAUUGCCCUUAUAAAGGAGUGGAGACUCGUCCUUCUUCCUUUACGCCAAGUCCUUUCAACCUUUCCCAUCUCGAGUUCUAGCACCCAAAGCACAAUCUAAUCACUUCGCGCUUCAUGAUCAUGUCUGGCCCCAACCGUCAAGGCUGGUGGGUGGCUUCCUCUGUCACAAAGGAGGAUAUCGCGAAGCUCUGGGAGGCAAGAUACCUGACUACGGAAAUCCUCCACAUGCUUCCUGCUCAAGGGCAGGUUAUUCCCACUCCCAGAUCUAAUGAGAGGGUUGUAUUCAUCUCCCACUUCCUCCGAGGGUAGGAUUUUCUCUUCAUCCCUUCGUCCGAGGGCUCAUGUUCUAUUACGGAUUAGAUUUUCAUGAUCUAGCCCCAGACUCUUUCCUUCAUAUCUCGUCGUUCAUUAUCGUAUGGGAAGCCUUCCUCCGUAUUCCCCCACACUUUGGCUUGUGGCUCAAGACCUUUAAUGUGAAGCCGAAGGUAAUCAAUGGGAAACAGGCGGAGUGCGGUGGUGCUGUGGUGAGCAAGCUCGCCAAUACUACUUGGCCAAAGGGCUCCUUCAUGGAAACUUCCGACCUGUGGCAGCAUGAGUGGUUCUACAUCACCGAACCCCGUGGUACCAGGUGGGCAGCUACUCCUACAUUCCGAUCUGGCCCUCCGUUAUAGCUCGUGUCAUGGAUUAAUAAGGGGCCGGACUGGGGAUCCAUCAAUGAAGUGUAGACGCUACAAAGCCGCAUUCGGAGCCUUAUUGAGAAGGACACCGGUCUCAUCAACGUAAUCCAAGUAAUGCUAGUCCGACGAGUCCUACCGUGCCAGCGACGGCCUCUCCGCAUGUGGGAGUUUAAUCUGGAAGGACCACGAACCAUUCAGCACCUCUCCGGCGCAACGCUCAGAGGAAUGUAGAAAUCAUUCUUCGGGACUCGAAAACAGUGGCCAUGUACUACAGAGGACAUCAGCCUUGACUGCAACCAUCCGGAUACAUCGGUAAGUACUCAACUUCCGAACACUGUUUAGUCAAAUUCCCCAUGACAACAUACUGAGAAAAUAGUAUUCGGUCAGGGCUGGAUAAAGAAAGCGGAGAGGAUUAGGUGUUCGGCACAUCUUCCCGAAGACUCAGCCGAUCCGGUGUUAACAAGGAUGCUGGCUCCAGCGCCCUACCAAGUGUCGGCGAGGGAAGACGAAGAGGAGAAUGAGGAGGCCCAAGGCGGCCUUCAUUCUAAAGGCUCGCCAGGCCCUUUGUCCAGGGAGAUUGGAACUUCCACCUCCAAAGGUAGAAAAGAAGGGCAAACUGACCUCCCUUCUCCUCAUGGGAAGAAAAGGACCGCCUCCAAAGACAUGAAGAGAGAGGCUUCUAAGCGGGAGAAGAUAUCCCGGUCAGGGGGUUCUGGUUCGGGGGGUGACGUUGACAUGCAAUCUUUCCAUAAAGAUAGGCCCUUAGUUGAAUCGUAAGUGAACAAGGGUGUUUUAAACAUACCCCGUUUAUUUUCUUGGCUGUAAGGGUAACAUUUAAAAUGUAUGUUUACAGUCCGGCACGCCGCUUUCCUCAACAGUCCUCCUCUUCGGGGGAUCUUCUUUCGGAGAUGACGGAGAGUGAGACGCCUCCACAGAUCUCCCCGCCUGAUAAGGCGGACGGCGUCGAGGUGUCGUUCGGGAGGCCGGAGGAUCUCUCCCGAUCAACAAGCAGUGCGAGGGACAAUGAAGACCGGGCCCAAAGGUGACACUUCGACCGCCCGGGAUCCGAGGUAUACGGCCCUCACGGGGACCAACAACAAAAGUCCUGGACUAUCAAAGUUCCGAGGGACGACACAACCUGUUCCGGUCUGGAGGCGCCGGAUACAUUGAUGGACAUAUUGCAACAUGCGUCCUUCUUAGAGGAACAUCGUACCUUGAUGGGUACGGUGGUUGAGAGAGUUCGAUCCGCGAAAAGCGAAUUGAAUGAAGCCUUUACGAGCCUACUAAGAGGUUUCGAGGUACGUAAUGUAAUAUUUUUAAUUGUGUUACAAACGCAAAAUGUGCCUGUGUAUAGAUAGUAGCCCCUGAGACUCUGGUUGACGUCCAAAGGGAGGCGAUCAGAGGAUCAAGAAAUAGAUGCCCAUGAAAUGAUCUGACUAAUUGAAACACAUGAUUUUACAUCCGUGGCGACUACCCGAGCGACAGAGAUUGAACAUCCGAAGCAGAAAGUUGAUGUGGCGGAUGUUGACAUCACGCUUAUGAACAGACGGCUCGACAAGGCGCAAGGUAUGUCCUUGAGGCACUCAGUAUAUGCAAUCAUUAUGAGAUGAGCAUGAUGCUGAGAAAUUGUAUACUGAAAUAUGCAUAACUGCAGAUAGUGCCGCCAAAGUUGAGACCCUUUGAGCUGAGCUUGCCCGGGCCAAGGAGCAGUCUAGGAUGGGUAAUGCGGCUGCCGAAAAGGCAGCCACUGAGUUAAAGGCCGAGCAGGCUGCUCGGCGCCAGUGUGAGGAGAUAAUUUCUACUAUGGCGCUUGAGCUAAAGGAUGCCGCUAGCCGAUGCCAAUUUCUUGAGGAAGAUAACAAAGCCAAAACGACCGAUCUUGACAAGGCCUUACAAGAGGCGAGGGAAGCCUGGUCUGAGUCUAGAGCAGCUCGGGAGGAGAUCCGACAAGCUGGGGAGAUCGCGGCUGGUAAGCCCUUCUUAUUACAAACUAAGUUUUGCGAUCCGAAGUAUGCCCCGCUUAAUCAAAUGUGGAGUUCUCCAGAUGCAUUUUUGGACUUGCCAAAGAGUGUUGCCGAUGCAACUCAGUUUUUCCACGCGCAAGAAGGGCAUGCAACGGAAAAGCUAUUCUGGUCGCAAUUCAACAUGCCAAAGCGUCCGUUGUUGAAUGAACAGAUGGCCCAAUGGGCCGAGCUCUACAAGAUGUCCAGAUCUGCCAUGAAGGAUGUCGUAGUCUGGCUAUGGCCGACUGAGCCAAUUCUGAAUAGUUAUUUCGGUUUGGUGCGACGGCUUAUUGAUGCGGCGCCGCGUAUCGAUGCUGUUAAGCGGUCAACAUGGAUAGAAGGUGCAUGGAUGGCCCUUGCCCAUGUGAAGGCAUAUUGGGCGAAGAUGAAGGCCACCGAUAUUGCAGCGUAGAGUCCACCCGAAGGCAAGGACCCUACCGCGCCAGAACAUUACUUUGAAGAUGUCCUAGAAGGUGCCCGCUUGAUAGAGGGUCAGUGCUCAAAAGAUAUUAUGUUCGAGUGAAGUGUACUGAAAUUUUGAAAACAAUGUUGUUUUUAAGGCUAUGUUUUUAUACUUUUGCCCGAAAAGUUUUGGUGCCACAUGUGCGGCCGUUUUUUAUAUAUAUAAUCUGAAAGUUUGCCAGUCGUCGGCUUCAGCCCCCUCGCGUAUAACACGGGGUGUUUGGAAAAGCACUUGAUCACACUUGACCCAACGUCUUGGUCCGUUAAGGAGGUGUCAGUGCGGCGAACCAGACAAUCGGACUAUAGGGCCUUAACACUUUCACUUAGCCAUAGGAGUUUGAUGGUGGGUCUACGAUAUAGCCUCUGAUAUGUACGCGUUUAUCCGAAUACGGUGCGCUUGCAUACGUGACCAGAAGAACGGUCCUUCGUUUAAUACGGAGGGAAUCGGGAAGAUUCCGAUGAGUCAUCGAGUGGUUGACCAGCUCUCGCCGCAUCAUGACAGUCAGUUUUCGGCUUUCUCUACUGAGGUGCUCAUCCAGACGAACCAGGACACAAUCGCAGUAGUUCUCCCUUUACUACCUUAGCCGAUAGAGCGGAACGUAAGGUAGCAAGAACAGGAGCCGGGCAACCCAACUAUUGACCAAAUACAUGAUUCGGAGCUGAUGCAUAUAAGGCCAAACUCGUGACGCCGAACACUCCCUAUAGGUGUUUGGACUUUUUGAAGUAUACCGGGCUGAAUACAGCCCCUGGUAAUGAACCCUGGUGUCAAGGCACGUGUGGCAAUCUGAUAUGGGGGGAGAACGCAGGUGGUGAGAGAAUAAAACUCCGGACAUGAUAUUGACCAAGCUGCUUCUAUAGUAUCCCUUUAUAGUACGGCGAGCUGUGUGCUUACAGAUAAUGCCGAUAACUCCUUAGGACAUUGUACAAGCCCGGAAAGCAUAAAACAAAAAGAGAUAAAAAAGGUUUACACAGGAUCUUAAUCUACAAAGAAACCUUAGUACGGGGCCUUGCUGCACGUCUACGUUGUUUUCUCCUUUGUGAUGUGUCCUUGAAGGGGGUGGUGUCACUACCAAAAAACAAACAUCCCUGACAUUUUGGGCCGAACGAAAAAAACAUAUGUCAUACAUAUGACACUUCUAUGACGAUAAUUGUGACAAAACCCGGUAUCAUCAUAGAUGUGGUGGGCUCCUACUUCUAUGACAAAAAAUCAUGAUAGAAAAUGGGCUUUUUGUCCUGGGCGGGCCAGAGACGCAGCUGCAUGACAUUCUUUGGGCCAUCCAUGACGGAAAAAACCGUGGUAGAAGCGAGGGCGAGGAAAAUUUCAGGGAGUUCCCGGUUACGGUGGGCGGUCGGGGGCCGAGCGAUGCGCGUUUCUCUCGUACACGUACGCGUGUGUGCGCGAGGUGUUGGCUCUAAUUGAACCCGAGCGAGGCGUUGGGCUCUAACUAAACCCGAGCGAUUGCACUGUAGGCUACACGUUACUAAACCCGAGCAAUCGAUCGAUGGCUGUUAACUGAACCCAAUCGAGAGAUUCCUUUGCUACUGCUGCUAACUGAAGCUGAUCGAUGCUGCCUCUCUGGAUGAACAGUGAGCAUUGCAGGGGGGUUGGAUGAACAGUGAGUGGUGGCAUUGCCUCUAGAUGAAUAGGACCCCGUGGUGUGGAGGGCUGGAUGAACAGGACGACCCCGUGGAGGGCUGAAUGAACAGUAGAUGGUGGAGGGGUGCCCGUGGAGGGGUGGUUGAACAGUAGCCGGUGGAGUAGCGUGCGGUGGAGGCUGGAUGAACAGGAGCCCGUGGAGGCUGGAGGAGGUCGACGGUAGCCCGUGGAGGCUGGAGGAGGUCGACGGUGGAGAUGAACAGUAUCCCGUGGAGUCCCGUUUUGCGGUACGCCACACCCCUCUCGAUGAACAGGACCCCCGUUUCGACCGUAGCGCUCCAACACAAGUCCGUUUCGUCCGUUUUGCGGUACGCCGCACCCCUCCCGAUCGACAGGACCCCCAUUUCGACCGUAGGAGGUCCGUUUCGUUCGUUUUGCGGUAUGCCACACCCCUCCCGAUCAACAGGACCCCCGUUUCGACCGUAGGAGGUCCGUUUCCUCCGUUUUGCGGUAUGCCAGACCCCUCCCGAUGAACAGGAUCCCAUUUCGAACGUGGCCGGUCGAACACAAGGCUGUUUCCUCCGUUCUGCGGUAUGCCAAGCCUCGUUUCCAUCGCCUGUUCCGUCCAAGCCCUCCCGAUGAACACGACGAUGCAUUCCGUUCCGACCCAGCCGGUUGGCUCCCCAUGAACACGACGACAACACUGUUUCUCCAUUCCGACCCAGCCAUGUACACGAGCCCUGACCGUACGUAUGCGCAAGUAGGCGUUCGAGACCCCGCCCGUAUGUACACAUACGUGGCCGUAUUUUCUUUCUUGCACACUGGCUGCUGUACGUACGUGUACAUGCUACAUGCGCGCCUCUACUACGACACGUACGCACCUCUACUACGACACGUGUGCGCCUCUACAUUGACCAGUAUAUAUGUAUGUACACGUUCGCGACCAGAAUGAAAAUGCUACAUAUGCUUCGACCAGGUGGGUCCCGACUGUCAGGCACUUCCUUGCGUCCGAAGAUGUAGCUGGUGGGUCCCAGCAGUCAGGGGGGCGAAUCAUUUUGGUUUUUUUGCUCAGACGCACUUCCUUGCGUGCGAAGGUGUAGCUGGUGGGUCCCAGCAGUGAGGGGGGAAACAUUUUUUUCGCGAAAUACGGUGGCCCGUCCGGUGGGUCCCCGCUGUCAGGUGGAGGAAUAAUUAUUUUGCGCGUAAUAAGGAGGCACUUCCUUGCGGCCGCCGUGGACCCAGCUGUCAGCCUCUCCACGCACAAUACUCUUCCAAUGGAAGUCGGUCGUUGACCACAUUGACCACGCCGCGCCGAGAGCACCACGAUGGUGGACGAUGGCGAGGCCUAGGAAGGGGAUGACGCGGAACCGGGGAAGACGCGGCAGUGGAUGCCCACACAAAGAGGAGUACGAGGGUUCACUGGUUCGGCUGCGGUGUGAGGCUGCCGUCCCCGCAGAAUAACAAGGGGUGCGGGUGAGUAGAGGGAUGUCCUGGCUAGCGGUGGGAGUAGUAGGGGGCGGUGAGGCCUCCGCGGUAUCACAACCGACCACGGGAGGCAGGAGCAUGCGGCAUGACCGGCGCUGCUUUGGGCGGCUAGAGAACGAAGACCAGAGGUUGAAGAAGCACUACGGCCGUUGGAUGGACAUCGUACGGUCACUGGAGUAUUGACUAAGUUGACAAAGCCCUUCGUCCCCGUCAACUUAGUAGGCCCACAAGUCAGCCUGCCACUAUACUGGGUCCCAGCUAGCAGGGGGGUAUUCUUUUUUUUUGCGUAAUAAGGAGGCACUUCCUUGCGUGCGAAGAUAUAGCUGGUGGGUCCAAGCUGUCAGCGGCGGUAACGUUUUUUUGGUGGGUCCCAGAUUUCAGGUGGAGGAAUCAUUAUUUUGCGCGUAAUAAGGAGGCAUUUCCUUACGUGCGGCCGUGGACCCAGCUGUCAGCCUCUCCACGUACAGUCCACUUCAGAUGCAUGUCGGUCGUUGACCAUGUUGACCAGGCCGUGCUGAGAGUACCAGGGCGGUGGACGACAACGAGGCCUAGGAAGGGAACGACACGGAGGCAGGGAAGAGUCGGCAGUUGUUUCCCACGCGGAGGGGAGUACGACUGUACGAGGGUUUACUGGUUCAUCUGUCAUCGCCGGAGAAUAACAGCAAGUGUGGGUGAGUAGAGGGAUGGCUAGGCCAGCGAUGGGAGUACGGUGGGGCGGUGAGGCCUGUGCGGCAGCACAGCCGGCCGCGGGGAGGAGGGAGCAGGUAGUCCCGCCAGUGCUUGUUUGAGCGGCUGGAGCAGGAAGAGCAGAGAUUGAAGAAGCACGACGGCCGUUGGAUGGAAAUCCAACGGUCACUGCUUGUGCGUCAACCUUUUUUUAGGAAAGCCUCAAAUCUGUGGAAAACAGCAUACAACCCAUUUGCCACUAUUUCUAAUAAUUUACAGCCCAUUUGCUAAUUCUUAAGGUUUUUUUGGAGCCCAUAUUCUUUUUGUUAGCAUUACAGCCCAUAUUGUGGCCACGGUUAAAAAAUUAUAUGAAAUUUUGCAUAUUUCAGUGUGGUCCGAACUGUUUUUACUCUCGAAAUUUCGAGUCAUAUUCAAAAUGAUUUCAAAAGUUAAUGUAUAUCAAUAUAAAAUCCAACAAGUUGUCCAUGCAUAAAAAUAAAUGCAAUUUAAAAUCUUGAAAUGAAAAAGAGAUAUUUGAAACUAAUUGCCGGUUUGAUGUGUUUUAAAAAUGUACAACCCAUUUCUCAUUACUGAUAGGCCAUUUUCUCGGCCAGCCGAAUGAAGCUCUCCUCGUCUUGAAAGAUUUGCAGCCCAACAGGCCUGACAAACUGACUUACUAGGCAAAUCACAAAAAACUGGGUUGUGGCGAUGGACCCAACUGUCAGCCUCUCCACGUACAGUACUCUUCCGAUGGAAGUCGAUCAUUGACCACAUUGACCACGCCGCGCCGAGAGCACCAAGGCGGUGGACGACAGUGAGGCCUAGGAAGGGGACGAUGCGGGGCCGGGGAAGACGCGGCAGUGGAUGCCCACGCGGAGAGGAGUACGAGAGUUCACUGGUUCGGCUGCAGCGUCAGGCUGUCGUCACCGUAGAAUAACAGGGGGUGUGGAUGAGUAAAGGGAUGCCCUGGGCCAACGGUGGGGGUAGUAGGGGGCGGUGAGGCCUCCACGGCAUCACACCGGCCACGAGAGGCAGGAGCACGCGGCACGACUGGCGCUGCUUUGGGCGGCUGGAGCAAGAUGACCAGAGGUUGUAGAAGCACUAUGGCCGUUGGAUGGACAUCGUACGGUGACUGGAGCUAGAAUCGUUCAUAUUGACUAAGUUGACAAAGCCCUCCAUCCUCGUCAACUUAGUAGGCCCACAAGUCAGCCACCCACUAUGGUGGGUCCCAGCUAGCAGGGGGUAUUCUUUUUUUGUGCGUAAUAAGGAGGCACUUCCUUGCGUGCGAAGAUAUAGCUGGUGGGUCCGACCUGUCAGCAGGGGGAACGUUUCUUUCGUGAAGUACAGAAGCCCUUCCCACAUACAGUCCACGUAUAGUGCGUAAUAAGGACGAACUUUCCUUGCGUGCGACCAUGGACCUCGUGGGUCCCAGCCGUCAGGCUCUCCACGUACAGUCCUCUUCCGAUGACUCUCGUAUGUUGACCACGCCGCGCUGAGCACACUGAGGCGGUGGUCGACAAUGAGGCCCCAGACUGGAAUGACCCGGAGAUGGGGAAGACGCAGCAGUGGAGUCGUAGACGGAGAGGAGUGGGAAACUUGACUGGUUCGGGUGCGGGGUGGGCCUACACUCGGCAGAGAAUAACAGGAGGUGCAGAGUGGAGGGAUGGCAUGGCCAUCAGCGGGGUAGCGUUUCGCUGAGGAGCGCAAAACAACGCCGCUGGAUGCCGAAGACUAGAGCAGGCGGUUCCGGCAAUGCUGCGGGAAGAAGACGAGAGAUUGAAGAAGAAUGUCGGCCAUUGGAUGUAAAUCCAAUGCCUUCUUAGGCUUCGACCUACUGGCCCACAUGUCAGCCAGUCCAUUUGUUUUUUAGUCCAUUUGGUGGACUGGGUGAAACAAUGAUGUAGCAUCUAUGCAGCCCGUUUAAAUCCCAUUUGCAUUUUUCUCAAAAUCCGCGGACUUGCUGGGCUGGGUGAAAAUAUCAUGUUGGGCUAGAUGAAGAAAUGUUAUAAAAACAUAAAAACAUGAUUGCACGUUAUUACUGCAUUGGUCAGUAAAAUAUUUGCAAGCUUAUGUACGCAAUCACUAGGAGUUAACUUGCCAAGUUAUAUAUAAACAAUUAUUAUUAUUAUUUUGUAAGAACUUUCAAUUUACAAAAUAAAAUAUCAUUUAAAUUUGAUGAGUUAAUAGUCCGUGGGGUAUUAUCAUUUUUAGGCUAGACGUGGGACAUUUGAGUUGGUUCUAAAACUCAGUUUACAUCGAAAAAGAAAGUGGGAGAAAAUUCAGAGACCUGUUGGGUCCACCUGAGGAGGGGAAUAUGUUGGGAGGAAGGAGAUUCAAAGCACGGAGGCCGAGUGAACUAGUUUUUUUUAACGGACAAGUGAACUAGUUACAUACAUAAGCAAAUAGCCACUAAAAAAAGCAAUGAGGUUAAUGGGUUCUUAAAAGAAAUAUUUCAGACAAAACAGAUAAUUACGACACAUAGGCUAAUGCAUGAAACACUCAGAUGAUAAAGGUGCUUAUAAACAGAUAAAAGUACAACAUCUAGACCUUUCUGGCACGCUUGAUCAUGACGUUGCGGUUGUCCGUGUACUCGUCGGUUACGGAAAGCAGACACACCCUCAUGUCCAAGAUCUGCCUGUACAUGUCGUAGCAUGUGUAUGCGUCCUUGGCCGCGUAGGUUAUGUAGGCUAUAUUCGGAGGUACCUCCCACAUGUUCAGGUCAUCUUCUUUCAUGUUGGCGUAUCAGGGGUCGAUGAUGGUCUCAGCGAGGUCAACCACUGAGUCCUUCUCCUGCCCGUUGCUGAUGAUCUUGUAUUGCUUCUAGAUGUCGACAAGCUUGUUGCACCAGAUGGACGAAUCGUCGCAUUCUUCCUUCUCUCCACCGUAGUGAAGAUGCAGUCAGCGCUGCCGAUGAAACGGGCGAAUGCUCCAGAACCUGGUGCAGCCAUAGGACUGAGGCGAGGCAGAGCUUCACCGAGUCCGUAUCGUUGGUGUACAUCACAUUCAACUUGGUGCAGCCAUAGGACUGAACGGCGAACUCAAAGGGGAACUCCUUGCUGAAGUCCAUAUCCAGUAGGCUCACCCCUCGGAUCGCCAUUGGAGUCUCUUCAAGUGAACAAAUGUGUAAGCGGCGGCAGCAGUUCGUUUUUCAGCUCUUGGGGAACUGGAUUCAACAGUAAGCUGAGUGUGUACAGGCGACACCGGUUACUACCCCUCCCUCAUCCGCUGCACGCCCGGUAGAAGAUGCACCCUCGGUGCAUUCAAACGCCUCCAUUAAGAAACCUACUCCGGCCACACGUCGGUUCACAAGCGGUCUGUAUUGGUACUAUAAUAACAGGAGUUAGUGGUCACUUUACUUAAAUUUAAUUAGCUUUAAUAGAAAUUUAUACUUAAAACAAGCAAUGCAUUGGCUCGUUCUAUCAGUGCCACAGGAUCAACAUCCACGACAAUUAGAAUUAUUAUUCUCAGGACACACACGAUCAACACAUUUGUCGCACUUUCACAAAGAUAAUACUACCAAAUUUGAAUUGUUUGCUAUGGUUGUUGUCCUCUGCAUCAUCAUGCCGUGUUUCCUAGCUUGCAAGAUUCAGAACCAACAAAUAAGAUCCAAAUAAUUACAACAAAGAUGCCUACACAUCUCAUUGAUUCCCAGCUUGCAAGAUUUAGAACCAACAAAUAAGAUCCAAAUAAUAAGUACAACAAAGAUGCCUACACAUCUCAUUGAUUCCCAGCUUGCAAGAUUCAGAACCAACAAAUAAGAUUCAAAUAAUAAGUACAACAAAGAUGCCUACACGUCUCAUUGAUUCCCAGCUUGCAAGAUUCAGAACCCAUUAGAGCCUUUUGAUAAAGUGAAUAUCGAGAUUAAAUCCAUCUUGGCUAGCCAUGUCAUACAAUCAAAGAACUUGGUGAAUGCUCUUGACCAUCACAACAUCUGUAGUUGAGUAUUCCUGUUUGCACAGCACAAACAAGGAGACAGGAGAGCAUGAUUUCACUUUAAUAGCGGCCUCCUUGAACUCAACCUGCAGCUCCACUAGGAUGAGGUCUACCUGGAGUUCCAUGAUUCAAUUCAUGCGCCUUUUUCUCCAGUUCACCUUAAAUGAAGCAAAGAUUGCAUCAUUCAGCUAGCAAGAAGUACUUGCUCUCGUGAGCUGGCAGGUUCUUCUUUAGUAGUUGCACUAAAAUUGAGGAACAUUAAGGUUGGCUGUCCGGCUCAUGUAAGGUGCAACUAUAAUUUUCUUAUCCUUUUGUGCAGUUCCACUAAAAUAAAGUCCCAUUGUGGUGACCGUGAUGGCUCCAUCUUGCAAAGGCUAAUAAAAUGUUGCACGAGAUUACCAACAGAACUUGACGAAGAUUUUGGAAACUCCAAUCACCAUUUUGUGCAGUUCCACCAAAAUUAAGAGAUGUUGCCCAUGUGACAUUUUAGUUGAACUGCACAAGACACGCAUUCCAAAAAAAAGUGUUUUGUGCAGUUCACCAAAAAGAUUACAAAUAGCAACAAGGUGAAAUGGAUAUCCCUAUCUGCACAAAAAGAUAGAAAGUAAACAGUUGUUGGUCAAUAAGAAUAUAUGAAACAUAUACAUAAUGAAAAUAAGCAUCUUAAUUAUGUUAAUGGCAAUCACGCAAGGACAGUAGAAAUUUUAAAACGUCAGCAAUGCUUCAUGUUACCAGAAGCAUUACGAUCAACAAUGAGAUUCCUCAAAUAUGGGAUUACUUUAAUGCUGGCAUUGCUUGUUUAACAGACAUAGUAAAUCAAUAGCAUCUAAAGAGUUGGUUUAAGGGCAUGGGACCGUGGGGACACCAAGACACUCAGCAGCGUAAAGGAGCAACUUACUUAGGGCCUGUUUGGUUCCAAAUAAGUCACCAACUUAUAAGUCAAAAAGUGAAAAAAGUGACUUAUUUUGCCAAACAGACCCGACUUAUAAGUCACCCCAACUUAUACAUCAUAAGUUGUUCCACCCCAACUUAAAACUUAUAAGUCACCCCCUUUUGCGUGGGUCCGACCACCUGCAUGAUGUUGAUUGGUGUGGGAAGGUGUGUCAGGUGACUUAUAAGUCAGGUGACAACCAAACAGGCAUGACUUAUAAGUCACUGGUUUUAAGUCACCUGACUUAUAAGUCAGGUGACUUACUGGAACCAAACAGGCCCUUAUCAUACUGGGGAAAACAGCAGGAGUGCCAUUUGUAACACAGUUUAAUUGCAUCUUAUCACUGGAGGCAUUAGAUUAACAAUAACACUGGUUAGACAUGUCCCUAAGGUAAUAGUGUGAUCGCCUCAUUUUACAUGCGCCCUUACAUUAACAACAGCAAAAGGUUGGUAUACGGACAUGCGACAGUGGAUGCAUCAGCACAAUGUACCUACAAGGAGGCAUAAAGUGGUGAUGCCGAGUUUGUUCAUGCUAUGUGAGGGCAGCAAACCUAAUCCUGGAGACCUUGUACUAUGUGAGGGCAGCAAAUCUAAUCCUGGAGACCUUUUACUAUGUGAGGGCAGCAAAUCUAAUCCUGGAGACCUUUUACUAUGUGAGGGCAGCAAAUCUAAUCCUGGAGACCUUUUACUAUGUGAGGGCANNNNNNNNNNNNNNNNNNNNNNNNNNNNNNNNNNNNNNNNNNNNNNNNNNNNNNNNNNNNNNNNNNNNNNNNNNNNNNNNNNNNNNNNNNNNNNNNNNNNNNNNNNNNNNNNNNNNNNNNNNNNNNNNNNNNNNNNNNNNNNNNNNNNNNNNNNNNNUGUGAGGGCAGCAAAUCUAAUCCUGGAGACCUUUUACUAUGUGAGGGAAGCAAAUCUAAUCCUGAGACCUUUUACUAUGUGAGGGUAGCAAAUCUAAUCCUGAGACCUUUUACUAUGUGAGGGCAGCAAAUCUAAUCCAGGAGACCUUUUACUAUGUGAUGGCAGCAAAUCUAAUCCUGGACAUACUCUGUUGACUUGUCCACUAGCCACCACUUUCUAUCCUUUUUUCAACCAAUAAUAGAUGUGUUCCUUAUCUAGUUAGUACUGCGUUUUCCCAUUAUUUCCGUUUUCAACCAAGAGACCAGUUGGGUAUCCGGUCUCUACUACUUUCACAUAUUAUUUCCUCUUUGAAUCAAGUCCUAGAUUCAUGCUACAACUUUCCCCCCUUUCUUCGUUGUUUGAACAAAGCCCUAGAUUCGAAUGCAUGAAGUAGCUUUACCUCUAAUAAUACUAAAAACUUAGGUGGCUUUGGAAGAGCUGAUGGGAGUAGAAAAGGAUGCACAUGCAGACACGUGGGGAGCUGGGGCGGUAGAGCAAGGCCGCUUUCGAAGAACUUAUACCUGAGGGUCGCCGGGAUGUCGGCGGCGGCAGGUCAGAUCUGCGGACAAUACGGCAGGGAGGAAGAAGGGUCGGAGGACCUCCCGAGCCGGCGCUAUGUUGGAGAGAACGACACGGGCAGAGGAUCGGGCCCCUCCGGCAGCUGUGGGUUUCCUCCCUCGGCUGUGAUUGAUAACCCCCAAGUAUAGGGGAUCGCAACAGUUUUCGAGGGUAGAGUAUUCAACCCAAAUUUAUUGAUUCGACACAAGGGGAGCCAAAGAAUAUUCUCAAGUAUUAGCAGCUGAGUUGUCAAUUCAACCACACCUAGAAACUUAGUAUCUGCAGCAAGUGUUUAGUAGCAAAGUAAUAUGAUAGUGGUGGUAACGGUAACAAAAAUAAAGACAGCAAAAGUAAUGUUUUUGGUAUUUUGUAGUGAUUGUAACAGUAGCAACAGAAAAGUAAAUAAGCGAGAACUAGUAUAUGGAAAACUCGUAGGCACCGGAUAAGUGAUGGAUAAUUAUGCUGGAUGUGGUUCGUCAUGUAACAUUCAUAACAUAGGGUGACACAGAACUAGCUCCAAUUCAUCAAUGUAAUGUAGGCAUGUAUUCCGUAUAUAGUCAUACGUGCUUAUGGAAAAGAACUUGCAUGACAUCUUUUGUCCUACCCUCCCGUGGCAGCGGGGUCCUACUAGAAACUAAGGGAUAUUAAGGCCUCCUUUUAAUAGAGAACCGGAACAAAGCAUUAGCACAUAGUGAAUACAUGAACUCCUCAAACUAUGGUCAUCACCGGGAGUGGUCCCAAUUAUUGUCACUUCGGGGUUGCCGGAUCAUAACACAUAGUAGGUGACUAUAGACUUGCAAGAUAGGAUCAAGAACAUACAUAUAUUCAUGAAAACAUAAUAGGUUCAGAUCUGAAAUCAUGGCACUCGGGCCCUAGUGGCAAGCAUUAAGCAUAGCAAAGUCAUAGCAACAUCAAUCUCAGAACAUAAUGGAUACUAGGGAUCAAACCCUAACAAAACUAACUCGAUUACAUGAUAAAUCUCAUCCAACCCAUCACCGUCCAGCAAGCCUAUGAUGGAAUUACUCACGCACGGUGGUGAGCAUCAUGAAAUUGGUGAUGGAGGAUGGUUGUUGAUGACGACGGCGACAAAUACCCCUCUCCGAAGCCCCGAACGGACUCCAGAUCAGCCCUCCCAAGAGAGAUUAGGGCUUGGCGGCGGCUCCGUAUCGUAAAAUGCGAUGAUUUCUUCUCUCUGAUUUUUCUCUCCCCGAAAGCCAAUAUAUAGAGUUGGAGUUGGCGUCGGAGGGCCACCAAGGGGCCCACGAGGUAGGGGGGCGUGCCCAGGGGGGCUCGCCCCCCACCCUCGUGGACAGGGUGUGGGCCCCCUGGUCUUCAUCUUGGGCGAGGAUUUUUUAUUGUUUUUUCUUAGGUGUUCCAUGGAGUUUCAGGUCAUUCCGAGAACUUUUAUUUUCUGCACAUAAAACAACACCAUGGCAAUUCUGCUGAAAACAGCGUCAGUCCGGGUUAGUUCCAUUCAAAUCAUACAAGUUAGAGUCCAAAACAAGGGCAAAAGUGUUUGGAAAAGUAUAUACGACAGAGACGUAUCAACUCCCCCAAGCUUAAACCCUUGCUUGUCCUCAGGCAAUUCAGUUGACGAACUGAAAGAGAAAAAGAAAAAAAAUUACAAACUCUGUUUGCUCUUGUUGUUGUAAACAUGAAAAGCCAACAUUCAAGUUUCGGCAAAUAUUAUGAACUAACCAUACUCACAAUAACACGAAGGUCUCACAAUUACUCAUAUCAAUAACAUAAUUAGCUAGCGAGCCAUAAUAAUAAAACUCGGAUGACAACACUUUCUCAAAAUAAUCAUAACAUGAUAUAACGAAGUGGUAUCUCGCUAGCCCUUUCUGUGACUGCAAAACAUAAAUGCAGAGAACCUUUAAAGAUCAAGGACUGACUAAACAUUGUAAUUCGUGGUAAAAGAGAUCCAGUCCAGUCAUACCCAAUAUAAACCAAUUAUAAUGAAUGCAAACGACAGUGUGCUCUCCAGCGGGUGCUUUUUAAUAAGAAGGGUGAUGACUCAACAUAAAAGUAAAUAGAUAGGCCCUUCGCAGAGGGAAGCGGGGAUUUGUAGAGGUGCGAGAGCUCGGUUUUAAAAUAGAGAUUGAAUAACAUUUUGAGCGGCAUACUUUUGCUGUCAAUGCAACAACUAUGAGAUGACGAUAUCUUCCAUGCUAAACAAAUUAUAGGCGGUUCCCGAACAGAAUGGUAAAGUUUAUACUCCCCCUCCUCCACAAGCAUCAAUCCAUGGCUUGCUCGAAACAACGACUGCCUCCAACGUUCAACGGGUCCCAGGGGGAGUUUUGUUUGCAGUUAUUUUGAUUUAGUUUUCAUAAAGCAUGGGACUGGGUGUCACGACCGGUUUUUCAAUAAGAAUAGUUAUUGAGAAAACCAAUCUUUAAAUCCCAGUAUAGGAAAAGUCAUCCUUUCUGGUAGACAAAAGCUUGAUAAACAGAGAACCAGUAGCACCAAAUAUAUUACAGGGUUGAGCUGAGGUAGCUCAACAAUUUAUUACAGACUCGCCAAUAUAUUACAUAUGGGCGGUUAUGACACAGGGGUGGGGUGGCAUGCUACUAGUUCGAGGGAAAAGUGGGGGUGGAUAACUUGACUUCUACUGGCAGUACAUCGAGCGUCGAGGUGAGGCUCAAUGAAUUUAUUCGGGAUUGCGGAAGCGGAUAAUACAAUGACCAAGACAGGAUCGCAAGGGACUGACUGGGACUCCUCUAGGCGUCGGACUCGCUAUCAUACUCUUCAUCCAAGAGAUCGCCUUCAUCAUCAUCUGGCCAAAUCAACAAGCCAGGUGAGUACUUGAAAGUACUCGCAAGACAGUUCGGACAAAAGAUAUAAUCAAUGAAUGCAUGAAUGCGUCAUGAACAAAGUAUGAUGUUCAAAUACAACGGAAUUAUUGCAGAACUUGAUGCAACAAAAUUUAAUAAUUAAAAACCGAUCGGGUGUCUGGAGCGACGCCUCGAAAGGUAAAUAAAUAAAAAAAAUGCAUGCCGCAGUCGGGCGUCUUAGCGACACCACUUAAAGGGCUUUAAAAGAAAUGCCACCGUCGGACGUCUGAGCGACAUCACUGACAGGGCUUUAAAAGAAAUACCACAGUCGGACGUCUGAGCGACAUCACAGAAAGGGCUUAAAAAGAAAUACCACUGUCGGACGUCUGAGCAACAUCACAGACAGGGCUUUAAAAGAAAUACCACCGUCGGACGUCUGAGCGACAUCACAGACAGGGCUUUAAACAAAAUACCACCGUCNNNNNNNNNNNNNNNNNNNNNNNNNNNNNNNNNNNNNNNNNNNNNNNNNNNNNNNNNNNNNNNNNNNNNNNNNNNNNNNNNNNNNNNNNNNNNNNNNNNNNNNNNNNNNNNNNNNNNNNNNNNNNNNNNNNNNNNNNNNNNNNNNNNNNNNNNNNNNNNNNNNNNNNNNNNNNNNNNNNNNNNNNNNNNNNNNNNNNNNNNNNNNNNNNNNNNNNNNNNNNNNNNNNNNNNNNNNNNNNNNNNGGAUGUCUGAGCGACAUCACAGACAGGGCUUUAAAAAGAAAUACCACCGUCGGACGUCUGAGCGACAUCACAGACAGGGAUUUAACAAUAGCAAAAUAACAGGUAUGCCACCGUCGGACGUCUGAGCGACAUCACAGACAGGGCCUUGUAACAAAUGUAAAUAACGAGAUUAGUUCAUCCACAAGAAUAAUCUUUUAACCGGAAUUAUUUCACAAAAAACCCACCGGAGUUUUUGUCACCGAGGCUGAAUACCUGACAAGAUAAGACAAUUAUAGUACUUGAACAAAGUACAAGAUAAUUGAAAGAUUGAGGCUCUGCAGAGUUUGGAAGAACUGAACACAGCCAACGAAUUUCCGUAGUCACGAAGGACUAGUUCCGUUUACGGUAUUUCAGUAGAAACACAUUUAACUAGUACACACCCAUUUCACCUCACGAUGCCAGGAAUCACCCUGGACAACGUCCAAGAAAAACUUUGAGACGGGGAGGCCACAACCUCGAAUAGCAUGGGAUCAAAUUUCUAUACGCGCGCUCUAAGGGGUGCCCCUCUCGGUCCCAACCGGAAACACCCAUGCCCCCUGACCGGAUGACGGGCUUUAAUCCAGGGCCAUGGAACCCUCAUCCCGGCCUCUCCACUUGGUCUGUACCAGGAAAACAAUUUGCAACUUACUAUGCCAUAUUCCUUUCGGAAAACAUGUGACAGUAUAGGAUGGAAUGAAUGGAAAUGUGAAUUGUGUCAUGACGACACGGAAGUCAAAUAAUCUGGCAUAAGACUGGCAUGUCACAACACUGCCAUCUUACCCAUCCUCAUACCAACACAUGGCUUUGCAAAUAUGUAUCCAACAACAUAAUGCUUUCCGGAACUUACUUUCCGAUUACGUGCAUGCGAUAUAUCAUGCAAGGUGAUGUUCAUAAACAUGCCAUGACUAUACUAAAAUGCAAACAUGCAACAACACUCAUCAUAUCAAGAGUUCAAACAUGCUUGCCUGGUUCGGAGUAGUCGGAGUCUAACUGUGUGAAGUUUGCGGCUCCAUCACCUCCUCCGGUAUCUACGGUAUAAGAAAAAUAUGUAGGCAACGUAAAUACCGUGAGUGUACAGAAAAGUGUUCCAAAUAUUUUUCAAAUAAACAUGAUAAAAAACUAGACAAAAAUCUAAAGAGAACAGAAAAAGAAUCAACCAAAAAUUCCCUUCUGAUAAAAAGUUAUAAGUGUUUUAACCCAAGGACACAUCUGUAAUGAAACAAAAAACUUCCAGGGGGUUCAGCGUAAAAGUACAGAUAACGUUUCGUUUAAAAGAAACGGCUGUGAGGCUGACAGGCGGGCUCCACCUGUCGGGUUUGAAAGUUCAAACAGAGAAACAGAGCGCGACGGCGCCCGAGAGGUGCGGUGGUCGCCGGCGGCGAUCCACGGCGAGGCAAGGCGAUCGGGGGUUACCUUCAAGAUCAGUGCACCGUUCCGCGUCUGUGGGUGGUGGUGGUGGUCGCCGGCGAGCAUUGUGUCGACGGCGGCCCUUGCUCCGGCGGACGGUGAUUCGGGCAGUCGUGGAUCUCGCCGGAGGGAGCUGCGGGGAUCAAAUAGGAGUGGGGGUUAGUCUCCUAGUUGCUCGUGAGGGCUGCUGAUGAAGUUAGAGCGCCGGAGACGGCCUCACCGGAGCGAAUCGCGGUGGAGUCCGAGGCGGAGCGCGGUGGCCAGAGUCGGGGAAGAAGGGCCCCUCGGGGCUCUCCCAGUGGCUGGGCGGGGUCUAGUGAGGUGGUGGAGUCGUGCGGGGGCGAGAGCAGGCUCGGGGGUGCUAUAUAUAGCCGGCCCGAGUCGGUUGCCGUGAACGGAUAAGUCCGGCGAGUUGAUUACGGCGGCGCUGUGGCCGGACGGUCGGCUUAGGGGUUUGAGCAUCGCCUAGGUGAAGUAGUGGUGCCAUUUUAGGGUCCAGCUCAGCACGGGAGGGAGGUUUACGGCCUGCCCUCGACGAAACGGCCGCACGGCCCGUCGGUGGCAGAGAGCGCGCUCUGCGCGUGUCGCGCCACGGCGACGGUGCUGCAUGCGUGCGCUGGCAAGGAGGUGGCCACGCGGAGCUACCAGGACGCUUGGGCGGCGCCGAACGGCGUUGCGCCGCCGUUCUGCUUCCUGUCGGCCGCUACGGCGCUACGGCCGCCGCAAGACACGCCGGCGCAGGCGGGCCAGGGCACCACCGACGCCAGGAAGGCGCCAAGCGCGCGUGUGAGGCCCCGGACAAGCAAGCCUGGCCGUGAGCUACGUGCCAAGCGCACUGUGAGCUCGUGACUGAAGUCACUGACAAAGAUCAACACUGAAUUCUGAAUUUAACUGAAUAUGACUAGAACAGUGCAUGCAAGGUGUUCGACAGAAUGAUCCAGGCAUGUAGGGAUUUUUCCUUGAGCUAGUUUUUGGUGGAGGGACCUCUCAUUGCACCUAGAGGUUGCCUGAAUAUUUGUGGAAUUUUUGGAGAUGUAUAGAUAUGAAUUUCACCAAAUUUGGCAAAUCUGGUCCAAACUUGCAGUGAGUGCAAUUUGAAAAAUUUGAACAGGAGAAGAGUGGAUCAAGAUGGUUCUGGGUUGUGGGUACAAAGGACUAUCCAGGGGUGUUGAGAUGAGGUCAAAAAUCAAAAGCAUUAAAGCACUUGCUUUGCAAUCCACCUAGGCUCAAAAGUAUAGACAGAAUUAUUUUGGGAGGAGAAAUAGUUGGAAUAAAAUCCAAAAAUGGAUUUUAUUAGUUUUGACAGAAUGUUUGGGUUGAACUAAAGUGGGAGGAAAGGUUUUUGGGAAAAAUUUCACCAUAGGAAGCAUGGUGAAAUUUUUGAAGGGAUCAAAACCAUAAAGAGCCCAAAACUAAAAGGGUUUUCAUUUUAAAAGAAACCAAAUCCAAGAAAAGGAUUUUUGAGAGGGAAAACUUAGAAGAUGGUUUUUGGGAAGGGUUUAAAUGACCUUCUUUCAAACCAAGCAAGGUUCUUUCUGAAAACAAAAAAAAUCACAAAAAUCUUGGAGUGUCACAGAACCUACCCCCUUAGGAAAAAUCUCGUCCCCGAGAUUUCAGCUGAUCCUUAAACAGGUGUGGGUGCUCUGUCCGAAGAAAAUCCUCGCUCUCCCAAGUUGCUUCAUUCUCGGUGUGAUUGCUCCAUUGAACUCUGAAAAACUUAAUGGUUUUCUGUCGGGUCCUCCUCUCAGAUUCUUCUAAUAUUUUUAUCGGGUGCUCCCGGUAAGUGAGGUCUGGUUGCACGUCAAUAUACUCAUGUGAAACUUGCUUCUCUGGGUUGCUUAUGUAUUUUCUCAACUGCGAGAUGUGAAACACGUUGUGGAUAAUGGACAACUCUCCGGGUAGGUCCAGCUGGUAGGCUACCUUGCCUCGUCGGGCCACUAUCUGAAAUGGUCCGAUGAAUCUUGGUGCUAGUUUCCCCUUAAUCUUGAAUCAUUGCAGACCCUUCAUAGGAGAAACUUUCAGGUAUACGAAUUCUCCGGGUUCAAAACUGAUUUCCCGAUGCUUUCAGUCGUAAUAACUCUUUUGCCGACUUUGAGCUGUUUUGAGUCGUUCCCUAAUCGUCUUAACUUUCUCCUCGGCCUCCUUGAGCAUAUCUGGGCCAAAGAUAUGGCUGUCUCCGGUCUCUGACCAAUUUAGCAGGGUACGACAUCUUCUCCCAUAUAGAGCUUCAAAGGGUGCCAUUUGCAAGCUGGCUUGAUAGCUGUUGUUGUAUGCGAACUCUGCAUAUGGCAAACUUUCUUCCCCACUGUUCCCGUAGGUGAGGACACAUGCUCUUAGCAUGUCUUCUAAGAUUUGGUUUACGCGUUCCGUUUGUCCAUCAGUCUGGGGAUGGUAUGCAGUACUGAAGGCUAGUUGGGUUCCCAGUGCCUGUUGUAGGUGAUCCCAGAACGUAGAGACGAACUGUGUGCCUCUAUCUGAGAUGAUAGUCUUAGGAACUCCAUGUAGGCAGACGAUACGGGCAAGAUAAAGCCUGGCUAGUCUCUGAGUGGUGUAAGUUGUUUUUACUGGAAUAAAAUGUGCCACCUUGGUUAAUCUGUCGGUUAUGACCCAAAUGGCAUCGUUUCCGUGUUGUGACCGUGGCAGUCCAACGAUAAAGUCCAUUCCAAUCUCGUCCCAUUUCCACUCGGGUAUCUUAUUUGGCUGUAACAGUCCGGCUGGUUUCUGGUGCUCUGCCUUGAUACGUUGACAAGAGUCACAUCAUGCAAUGAACGUGGCUAUAUCUCUCUUCAUACCGUGCCACCAAAAAAUUUCCUGAAGGUCUUUGUACAUUUUUGUCCCUCCAGGAUGGAUUGAAUACGGAGCAGUGUGACUUUCAGUUAAUAUCUGUUGUUUGAGGUCCUUGACAUUUGGUACGCAUAGCCUUUCUCCGUACCACAAUAUUCCUUGCUCAUCUAUGUUGAAUUCUGAGGCUCUUCCCGAACUCACUUUUCUCUUUAUGCCCUCAAUGCUGGGGUGUCCGUGCUGGGCUUCCUUGAUGCUUUCCAUUAGGGUAGGCUGUAUUUCUAUAUUCGACACACUGCCUUCGGUAACCAUUAUUAGAUUGAGUCGGGCAAAUUCUUGUUGAAAUUCUGGCCUCAAUUUUGGUAUAUUGUCGUCUUCUGUGCUGGGAUUUCGACUAAGUGCAUCUGCCACAACAUUUGCUUUUUCGGGAUGAUAGUGGAUUCCAACAUCAUAAUCCUUCACCAACUCUAACCAGCGUCGUUGCCGUAAAUUUAACUCUGGUUGUGUGAAAAUAUACUUAAGACUCUUAUGGUCUGUGUAUAUCUCACAACGAUUCCCAAGUAGGAAGUGUCUCCAUUCCUUGAGUGCAUGGAUGACCGCUGCUAAUUCCAAGUCAUGUGUGGGAUAAUUUUCUUCAUGCUUGCGUAGUUGUCUGGAGACAUACGCUACUACCUUGCCUUCUUGCAUCAAUACGCAUUCGAGGCCUUUCCGGGAUGCGUCACAAUAUACCUCAAAGCUCUUGUGUAUAUCUGGCACAAUUAGUACUGGUGCCGUUGUUAAUUUUCUUUUUAUCUCUUGGUAGCUUUUCUCACAUGCUUCUGUCCAUUCAAAUUUCUUGCCUUUCUUGAGCAAUUGUGUCAUGGGCUUUGCUAUAGUGGAGAAUCCUUCAAUAAAUCUCCGAUAAUAGCCUUCCAUUCCCAAGAAACUCCGUACGUCCGUUACGUUACCUGGCGGUUUCCAGCCAAGUACGGCCUUGACUUUUUCUGGAUCUACUGCAAUACCUUCUUGGGUUAGCACGUGGCCCAGAAAACCCACCUGCCUUAGCCAAAAUUCACAUUUGCUGAAUUUGGCGUACAGUUGAUGUUUCCUGAGUUCUCCGAGUACAAUCCUGAGAUGUUCGGCGUGUUCUUCUGGUGUUUUGGAAUAUAUCAGAAUAUCGUUGAUGAAUACCACAAUAAACUUGUCCAUAUACUUCAUAAACACCUUGUUCAUGAGGUGAACAAAAUAUGCGGGGGCGUUGGUUAGCCCAAAUGGCAUUACUGUGAACUCAUACAGCCCAUAUCUGGAGGUGAAAGCGGUCUUGGGAAUAUCUUCUGUUCGUACUUUUAACCGGUGGUAUCCUGAUCUCAAAUCAAUUUUUGAGAAGACUUUGGCCUGUGCGAGCUGAUCGAAUAAAUCAUUUAUUCGUGGCAUUGGGUAUUUGUUCUUGAUUGUGACCAUGUUGAGAGCUCGAUAAUCAAUACACAACCUCAUUGUUCCAUCCUUCUUCUUGGCAAAUAAAAUUGGAGAACCCCAAGGUGAGGAGCUGGCUCGUAUGUAUCCUUUAUCCAAUAAUUCUUUUAUUUGCUUCUUCAACUCUACCAAUUCGGGUGGUGCCAUUCUGUAAGGUUUCUUGUAAAUAGGAGUGGUUCCGGGUGCGAGCUCAAUGCUGAAUUCUAUCUCUUGGUCUGGUGGCAUGCCCGGUAGUUCUUCUGGAAAUACAUCUGGAAAUUCACAUACCACUGGAACCUUGUUCAGCUCAGAAACGUCUACUUUGUUUAAUCUAGGUUGCCGAGGUAUUUGUCUCUCCUUGGCUGAAACUUUUAUUUUCUUCCCUUGAUGGUGGGUGAGAAUUACGGUACGGUUGAAGCAAUCAAUAAAACCUUUGUUGGUGGUCAACCAAUCCAUUCCUAGGAUGACAUCCAGUCCUUUGCUUUCCAGUACAAUAAGAUUGGUGUAAAAUUUCAAUCCUUCAAAUUCAAUAACCACACCUUGACAGUAACUCUGGGUCACUUGCUUAAUCCCAGGGACUUGACGAUCAUUGAUUUUUCCAAGGGAAGCAUCAAAAAAUUAUUUUGCAAAGCAAAACUUUUCAAAACGAAUGAGUGAGAAGCUCCAGAAUCAAACAAAACCAUGGCAGGUAUUGUGUUGACGGGGUACGUACCGAGUACGAUAUCUGGGGCGUUCUGUGCUUCCUCUCUGGUCACGUGGUUCAAGUGACCUUUCCGGUGGUUGUUGUUGGGGUUGAAAUUGCUUCGCUUUGGUGCUGAAUUAUAUCCACCAUUAUUGAACUUCGGGUUUGAGUUCCUUGGCUUGGGACACUGCUUGGCAUAGUGCCCUUCUUCUCCACGAGCAUAACAGGUAACACCUGGGCGAUAGGUGAACUCUUUGUCUCUUGCAUGGAAAUUCUUGGUUGGACGUGAAUUAUUCGCCGGGGUUUUGUGUGAAUCCCCCUUCUGAAAUUCCUUCUUGCUUCUGGGAUUGCGAGAAAAAUUAGUCUGGUCCCUUUUCCGUUUGCGGAUAUCUUCCAGGCUACGUCGCUCAUUUUCUAGGGUAAUGGCCUUAUCCACCAGUGUUUUAAAAUCUGGAAAGGUGUGCACAACUAGCUGGCACUUAGGGGCGUGUGCCAGGCCUUCCAAGAAUUUUUCCAUCUUCUUGCUCUCGGUCAUGCGUUCUUCAUUGGCGUAACGUGACAGCAGUGUGAAUUGGCUGUUGUAUUCUGACACUGUCAUGGCUCUUUGCUUGAGUUCAUCAAAUUCUUUCUUCUUGAUUUUCAUGACGCUCUUAGGAAUAUGUGCCCCACGAAAACCUUCUUUGAAAUUUUCCCAGGUGAUUUCAUUUUCGUUGGGGUGCAUGUGCAGGAAGUUUUCCCACCACGAUGCAGCUGCACCCAUGAGAUAAUGUGGUGCAUACAGUACUUUUUCACGGUCUGAACACUGUGCGAUAAUUAAUUUUCUCUCCAUGUCUCGAAGCCAGUCCUCGGCCUCAAGAGGCUUGUCAGUAUGAGAAAAUGUUGGAGGACGCGUCUUUUGUAACUCAGAUAAUUUGGAUUGUGGUUGAUACUGACCACGGUACUUCCCAUAUUGAUGAAUUGGUUCAUCAUUUCCUGGUGUUGCUGCUGACUCUGUUCAUACAAACGACAAACUUGUGUAAAAGCUGUUUCACUGUCUGGUUGACUUGUCUGACCCUGAGUGAAAUUCUAGUUCUGCGGUGUGCCAUAAAUUUCUUCUGGCUGAGUUGGCAUGGAGCGCAUCCAAGGACGAGACAUCUUUCACUCUGGGGAUAAAUUUUUUGUGAACUCGUAAGACAAGAAGAAGAGUCGCAAAAGUCAAAAAAAAAUCACAGGCAAGGAACAUUUUUAAACUCCAUGGUAUUUUUUUGAAACACACGAUUGCGCGCGGAGAAGGACUAGUGCAUAUCUUACACGCGGGCAUAAUUAUACAUUACAUCACUCAGGAUAUGCGUACAUAAUCCUGACAUGUUAUUUAAACUAGUGCACUCCUCCAGAUCCUACAUGAUGCGCAAAUAGGCUACUUCUCACAACCUGAGAACAUAAAAACAUAUUACACCAGUUGAUACAUCGCAUGGCGUCUAUGCGUACUUAGUCGGAGAUGUUGAUGAUCUCCCUUGGCCUGCCGAGGGUGAGACGCAGAGACGCUGGGGAAUUGACCUCCUCCUCGCUAAUAGGUUCCAGACGAGAAACGUUGUGCUGAGCUGAUGGAGCAGGUGCCCUAGGCGGAAUAACACGAAUACGAGUGGGUGGAAUAGGUGGGGUAGCUCGUAUGGGAGUGGGCGCAACACGUGGUGCAGAGCGGACGGGAGUGGGUGCAACAAGUGGUGCAGAGCGGACGGGAGUGGGUGCAAUAGCCUGGUUAAAUUCCUCUGUGGUAGGCAGACGACGAGCAGAGGCGAGUAUGGUAGGUGAGUGAGAGGCUUUGGAUGACACAAAAGUCAGUGGUGGAGCAGUAUGCAGGAGUUCCCUCAUGUUAGCAGCACAGCCAUGAACUGAGUCCAUGCGUGCAGCUACGAAGUCAUCCACCAUGCAGUCGAAUGCUGCCUCCAGGGCUCGGAGGUACUCGACAAGCAUCUCAAAGGCUUCGUCUCGCUCUCCUCUGGGGCAAGAGAACGAGUAGUGACAGGUGUAAGGCACAUGGCAAGGAAGGUAGCGGUAGCGACGGGUCUUCAUUGCAGGAAGAACAUCCCGAAGAUGGGUUAUUGCCUCGCGGGCAGCCAUCUGCAUAGCAUGCCUUUCUGUAGGCAUGGCUCUCCCCACGAAUCGGAGACGGCGUACUUCGGCAUGGCCUCCCCUGAAUUGCACCGCGGCCUGGUGCAUAGUCAGACUGUCGUUGAUCUUGUGUGGAUAAAGCGUGAAGACUGGGCACACAGAUGGCCCCAUCGCGUCCUGAACGAUGAAGGAGAGGAGUUUGACGAACCCCUCAGGCACGUUGGCGAACAUCUGAGACUCGCAGUCGUUGCCGGCCAUCUACAAAAGUAGGCAAAAAUUCUGAGUGGUCAGAACAUAAAUUUUAUGCCGACUGUCAGAAAAUGACUACAAUUGUAAAAACAUGAAUAACUCUAUCAUGCUAAUAACCAAUUAGCGAUCGCACCUAGUGGCUUCCUACAGUCUGCCUGGCUCUGAUUACCAAGUCUGUCACGACCGGUUUUUCAAUAAGAAUAGUUAUUGAGAAAACCAAUCUUUAAAUCCCAGUAUAGGAAAAGUCAUCCUUUCUGGUAGACAAAAGCUUGAUAAACAGAGAACCAGUAGCACCAAAUAUAUUACAGGGUUGAGCUGAGGCAGCUCAACAAUUUAUUACAGACUCGCCAAUAUAUUACAUAUGGGCGGUUAUGACACGGGGGUGGGGUGGCAUGCUACUAGUUCGAGGGCAAAGUGGUGGUGGAUAACUUGACUUCUACUGGCAGUACAUCGAGCGUCGAGGUGAGGCUCGAUGAAUUUAUUCGGGAUUGCGGAAGCGGAUAAUACAAUGACCAAGACAGGAUCGCACAGGACUGACUGGGACUCCUCUAGGCGUCGGACUCGCUAUCAUACUCUUCAUCCAAGAGAUCGCCUUCAUCAUCAUCUGGCCAAAUCAACAAGCCAGGUGAGUACUUGAAAGUACCCGCAAGACAGUUCAGACAAAAGAUAUAAUCAAUGAAUGCAUGAAUGCGUCAUGAACAAAGUAUGAUGUUCAAAUACAACAGAAUUAUUGCAGAACUUGAUGCAACAAAAUUUAAUAAUUAAAAACCGAUCGGGUGUCUGGAGCGACGCCUCGAAAGGUAAAUAAAUAAAAAAAUGCAUGCCGCAGUCGGGCGUCUUAGCAACACCACUUAAAGGGCUUUAAAAGAAAUGCCACCGUCGGACGUCUGAGCGACAUCACUGACAGGGCUUUAAAAGAAAUACCACAGUCGGACGUCUGAGCGACAUCACAGAAAGGGCUUAAAAAGAAAUACCACCGUCGGACGUCUGAGCGACAUCACAGACAGGGCUUUAAAAGAAAUACCACCGUCGGACGUCUGAGCGACAUCACAGACAGGGCUUUNNNNNNNNNNNNNNNNNNNNNNNNNNNNNNNNNNNNNNNNNNNNNNNNNNNNNNNNNNNNNNNNNNNNNNNNNNNNNNNNNNNNNNNNNNNNNNNNNNNNNNNNNNNNNNNNNNNNNNNNNNNNNNNNNNNNNNNNNNNNNNNNNNNNNNNNNNNNNNNNNNNNNNNNNNNNNNNNNNNNNNNNNNNNNNNNNNNNNNNNNNNNNNNNNNNNNNNNNNNNNNNNNNNNNNNNNNNNNNNNNNNNNNNNNNNNNNNNNNNNNNNNNNNNNNNNNNNNNNNNNNNNNNNNNNNNNNNNNNNNNNNNNNNNNNNNNNNNNNNNNNNNNNNNNNNNNNNNNNNNNNNNNACCGUCGGACGUCUGAGCGACAUCACGGACAUGCCUUUAAAAAUAAAUACCUCCGUCGGACGUCUGAGCGACAUCACAGACAGGGCUUUAAAAAGAAAUACCACCAUCGGACGUCUGAGCGACAUCACAGGCAAGGCUUUAACAAUAGCAAAAUAACAGGUAUGCCACCGUCGGACGUCUGAGCGACAUCACAGACAGGGCCUUGUAAAAAAUGUAAAUAACGAGAUUAGUUCAUCCACAAGAAUAAUCUUUUAACCGGAAUUAUUUCACAAAAAACCCAUUGGAGUUUUUGUCACCGAGGCUGAAUACCUGACAAGAUAAGACAAUUAUAGUACUUGAACAAAGUACAAGAUAAUUGAAAGAUUGAGGCUCUAACAGAGUUUGGAAGAACUGAACACAGACAACGGAUUUCCGUAGUCACGAAGGACUAGUUCCGUUUACGGUAUUUCAGUAGAAACACAUUUAACUAGUACACACCCAUUUCACCUCACGAUGCCAGGAAUCACCCUGGACAACGUCCAAGAAAAACUUUGAGACGGGGAGGCCACAACCUCGAAUAGCAUGGGAUCAAAUUUCUAUACGCGCGCUCUAAGGGGUGCCCCCCUCUCGGUCCCAACCGGAAACACCCAUGCCCCCUGACCGGAUGACGGGCUUUAAUCCAGGGCCAUGGAACCCUCAUCCCGGCCUCUCCACUUGGUGUGUACCAGGAAAACGAUUUGCAACUUACUAUGCCAUAUUCCUUUCGGAAAACAUGUGACAGUAUAGGAUGGAAUGAAUGGAAAUGUGAAUUGUGUCAUGACGACACGGAAGUCAAAUAAUCUGGCAUAAGACUGGCAUGUCACAACACUGCCAUCUUACCCAUCCUCAUACCAACACAUGGCUUUGCAAAUAUGUAUCCAACAACAUAAUGCUUUCCGAAACUUACUUUCCGAUUACGUGCAUGCGAUAUAUCAUGCAAGCUGAUGUUCAUAAACAUGCCAUGACUAUACUAAAAUGCAAACAUGCAACAACACUCAUCAUAUCAAGAGUUCAAACAUGCUUGCCUGGUUCGGAGUAGUCGGAGUCUAACUGUGCGAAGUUUGCGGCUCCGUCACCUCCUCCGGUAUCUACGGUAUAAGAAAAAUAUGUACGCAACGUAAAUACCGUGAGUGUACAGAAAAGUGUUCCAAAUAUUUUACAAAUAAAUAUGAUAAAAAACUAGACAAAAAUCUAAAGAGAACAGAAAAAGAAUCACCCAAAAAUUCCCUUCUGAUAAAAAGUUAUAAGUGUUUUAACCCAAGGACUCGUCUGUAAUGAAACAAAAAACUUCCAAGGGGUUCAGCGUAAAAGUACAGAUAACGUUUCGUUUAAAAGAAAUGGCUGUGAGGCUGACAGGCGGGCUCCACCUGUCGGGUUUGAAAGUUCAAACAGAGAAACAGAGCGCGACGGCGCCCGAGAGGUGCGGUGGUCGCCGGCGGCGAUCCACGGCGAGGCAAGGCGAUCGGGGGUUACCUUCGAGAUCAGUGCACCGUUCCGCGUCUGUGGGUGGUGGUGGUGGUCGCCGGCGAGCACUGUGUCGACGGCGGCCCUUGCUCCGGCGGACGGCAGUUCGGGCAGUCGUGGAUCUCGCCAGAGGGAGCUGCGGGGAUCAAAUAGGAGUGGGGGUUAGUCUCCUAGUUGCUCGUGAGGGCUGCUGACGAAGUUAGAGCGCCGGAGACGGCCUCACCGGAGCGAAUUGCGGUGGAGUCCGAGGCGGAGCGGGGUGGCCAGAGUCUGGGAAGAAGGGCCCCUCGGGGCUCUCCCAGUGGCUGGGCGGGAUCUAGUGAGGUGGUGGAGUCGUGCGGGGGCGAGAGCAGGCUCGGGGGUGCUAUAUAUAGCCGGCCCGAGUCGGUUGCCGUGAACGGAUAAGUCCGGCGAGUUGAUUACGGCGGCGCUGUGGCCGGACGGUCGGCUUAGGGGUUUGAGCAUCGCCUAGGUGAAGUAGUGGUGCCAUUUUAGGGUCCAGCUCAGCACGGGAGGGAGGUUUACGGCCUGCCCUCGACGGAACGGCCGCACGGCCCAUCGGUGGCAGAGAGCGCGCUCUGCGCGUGUCGCACCACGGCGACGGUGCUGCAUGCGUGCGCUGGCAAGGAGGUGGCCACGCGGAGCUACCAGGACGCUUGGGCGGCGCCGAACGGCGUUGCGCCGCCGUUCUGCUUCCUGUUGGCCGCUACGGCGCUACGGCCACCGCAAGACACGCCGGCGCAGGCAGGCCAGGGCGCCACCGACGCCAGGAAGGCGCCAAGCGCGCGUGUGAGGCCCCGGACAAGCAAGCCUGGCCGUGAGCUACGUGCCAAGCGCACUGUGAGCUCGUGACUGAAGUCACUGACGAAGAUCAACACUGAAUUCUGAAUUUAACUGAAUAUGACUAGAACAGUGCAUGCAAGGUGUUCGACAGAAUGAUCCAGGCAUGUAGGGAUUUUUCCUUGAGCUGGUUUUUGGUGGAGGGACCUCUCAUUGCACCUAGAGGCUUCCUGAAUAUUUGUGGAAUUUUUGGAGAUGUAUAGAUAUGAAUUUCACCAAAUUUGGCAAAUCUGGUCCAAACUUGCAGUGAGUGCAAUUUGAAAAUUUUGAACAGGAGAAGAGUGGAUCAAGAGUGUUCUGGGUUGUGGGUACAAAGGACUAUCCAGGGGUGUUGAGAUGAGGUCAAAAAUCAAAAGCAUUAAAGCACUUGCUUUGCAAUCCACCUAGGCUCAAAAGUAUAGACAGAAUUAUUUUGGGAGGAGAAAUAGUUGGAAUAAAAUCCAAAAAUGGAUUUUAUUAGUUUUGACAGAAUUUUUGUGUUGAACUAAAGUGGGAGGAAAGGUUUUUGGGAAAAAUUUCAGCAUAGGAAGCAUGGUGAAAUUUUUGAAGGGAUCAAAACCACAAAGAGCCCAAAACUAAAAGGGUUUUCAUUUUAAAAGAAACCAAAUCCAAGAAAAGGAUUUUUGAGAGGGCAAACUUAGAAGAUAGUUUUUAGGAAGGGUUUAAAUGACAUUCUUUCAAACCAAGCAAGGUUCUUUCUGAAAACAAAAAAAAAUCACAAAAAUCUUGGAGUGUCACACUGGGCAUCCCGGCGACUAGCCAUUUUUCUCGUGAAUGAGGAGUGGAGUCCACUCCUCUUGAGAAUAACCGCCUAACAUGGAAGAUAAGGGCAGCCCUAGUUGAACAUGAGCUGCUCGAGCAUACAAAACAGAAUUUCAUUUGAAGGUUUGGAGUUUGGCACAUACAAAUUUACUUGGAACGGCAGGUAGAUACCGCAUAUAGGAAGGUAUAGUGGACUCAUAUGGAACAACUUUGGGGUUUAAGGAGUUUGGAUGCACAAGCAGUAUUCCCGCUUAGUACAGGUGAAGGCUAGCAAAAGACUGGGAAGCGACCAACUGAGAGAGCGACAACAGUCGUAAACAUGCAUUAAAAUUAAUUUACACCGAAUACAAGCAUGAGUAGGAUAUAAUCUACCAUGAACAUAAAUAUCAUGAAGGCUAUGUUGAUUUGAUUCAGCUACAUGCGUGAACAUGUGCCAAGUCUAGUCACUCAAUUCAUUUAAAGGAGGAUACCAUCCUAUCAUACCACAUCAUAAUCAUUCUAAUAGCAUGUUGGCACGCAAGGUAAACCAUUAUAACUCAUAGCUAAUCAAUCAUGGCACAAGCAACUAUAAUCUCUAAAUGUCAUUGCAAAUAUGUUUACUUCAUAAUAGCUAACUCAGGAACGAUGAAUCAUCAUAUUUACAAAAACAAGAGAGGUCAAGUUCAUACCAGCUUUUCUCAUCCCAAUAAGUCCAUCAUAUAUCAUCAUUAUUGCCUUUCACUUGCACGACCGAACGAUGUGUAUAAUAAUAAGAGUGCACGUGCAUUGGACUAAGCUGGAAUCUGCAAGCAUUCAACUCAAGAGAGAAGACAAGUAAUAUGGGCUCUAAGUUAAAUAAACAUUCAUGCAUAUAGGAGCCACUAAGCAUUUUCAAUAUGGUCUUCUCGACCCCCAAAGAAAGGAAAAGAAAUAAAAACUAUUUACACGGGAAAGCUCCCAACAAACAAAAGAAGAACGGGAAAUAUUUUUGGGUUUUCUUUUUAAUUACUACAAAAAAGAAAUAAACUACUACUAUUUUUUUGUUUUUUCUUAAGGUUUAUCAAACACACAAGAAGAAAGCAGGAAAAAGAAAAUAAACUAGCAUGGAUAUUACAGUGAAACGGUAUGAGCACCGACAUCUAGCAAUGAGUGUGUGUGAACAUAAAUGUAAUGUCGGUGGGAAAGACGUACUCCCCCAAGCUUAGGCUUUUGGCCUAAGUUGGUCUAUUGCCAGGGAUAGCCUGGCGGAUACCCGUAGGUGAAGCUGGGGUCAUACUGUGAUGCAGCUACUAUCGCCGCCUGAGCUGUAGCGUGGCGUCGAGCAGCCUCCGCUCUCCUCUCGUACUCAUCCGCCUCCUCUCUGGUAAUAAUAUAUCUUCCUUUUGUCUGAAAAUCAAAGAAGGCAGGAGCAGGAAGAGCAAUAUGGACUACAUGACGUUUGUUAAAGAUUGGUCGAUACUGGAGAGGUGGUUCAGUCCUCUCAACAAACUGGUGGGAAACCAUAGAAUCAAAAUCUAAAUAAGAAGGGGGUAACUCCAUAUCACCCUCACGAAUGUCUAUCUCAAGAAAAUUAGCUAAGCGGGUUGCAUAAAUUCCUCCAAAGAAAUCUCCGUUAUGUCUAUUCUGAUGCAACCUAUGAGUUACAAUGGCUCCCAUAUGAUAAGAUUGGUAUCCUAACACAGCACUCCUAAGAAUGCUGAGAUCAGGGACACACAUGUGACAUGCUUCAUCCUUAGCAUUUAUGCAUCUACCUAUAAAGAGAGCAAAAUAAUGUAUAGCAGGAAAGUGAAUGCUUCCUAAAGUGGCUUGUGUUAUAUCUCUAGAUUCCCCCACGAUUAUUCUAGAAAGAAAGUCUCUAUAUUCAGAUUUAGGGGGAUCCCUGACACUACCCCAUGAUGGAAGUUUGCAAGAAGAAGUGAAAUCCUCUAAGUCCAUGGUAUAAGAUUUGUCAUAAAGGUCAAACAUGACUGAAGGAGAAUUACGCGAAGAUGAAAACUCAAACCUCCUCACAAAUGAACUUGUGAGAUCAUGAUACUGGGGGCAUUUGUCAGCUUCAAAGUCCUCAAGACCGACGUUGCGCAAAUAUGCGCUAAAUUCUUCUUUGAUUCCCACUUGAUUCAUAAAAUUUUCCGAAGGCCAUUCACAGGGCCUCACAGGAGCGUCUCUUGGUGGUUCCUCGUCAGCAUCACGUAUUGCAAGUCUAGGACCUUGCUUCCUUGAAGGACCACCUUGGAACAUCCUCCUAAACAUAUUGUUUCCUAUGAAAAAUUUCUGAAAUUUUUAGUAACUUCAAAUAAAAGUGAACCAAGUUCAAUAAAAUUGAUAGUAACAACUCCCACAAGUGCCUAGAGCCUAUAUCAAGCAUUAAAACUACUUGGAACCAUAUGAAUUUGACAUGCAAGCUCAAGAACAUGGUCACCUAUGCAACACAAAUUUGCAAUGAAUAAAGCACUAGAACAAAAACUAAUUGAACCAUUGGAGGAGUCACAUACCAAGGAGCAAUCUCCCUAAGCAGUUUUGCGAGAGGUGCUUUGAGCAAAGAGAUCGAAAAUCACAGCAACAGGGGCUGGAACUCGUGCUUGAGUUGGUUUUUCGUGUUUGUGUGAGACAGAGGAAGAAGAUGGGUGCAGGGAUAAGUGGAGGAGGGCCACCAUGGGCACACGAGGUAGGGGGCGUGCACAGGGGGUAGGGCGCGUCCUCCACCCUCGUGACCAGGUGGCAGCUCCCCCCGCGGUGAUUUUUGCACAGUAAAUCCUCAAAUAUUCCUGAAAAAAUCAUAUUAAAUUGGCAUGGCAUUCUGAGGACUUUUAUUUUUGGAAUAUUUUUAUAUUGCACGGAUAAGUCAGGAAACAGACAGAAAAAUACUAUUUUACUUUAUUUCUACUAAAUAACAAAAAAUGUAAAGAGGGUACAUAAGGUUGUGCUUCUAAUUUCAUCCAUCUCAUGCUCAUAAAAAAGAAUCCACUAACAAGGUUGAUCAAGUCUUGUUAACAAACUCAUUCCGAUAAUCAUGGAACCGGAGAAAUUUCGAAUAGCACUAAGUUACCUCAACGGGGAUAUGAAAAUCCCCAACAAUAAGAAUAUCAUACUUUUUCUUGACAGUAGGGAGAGGAAAUUCAAAACCUCCAAAUAUAAUCGAUGGAAUUUUUCCAAUAUAGUUGAUACUAUAAACUUGAGGUUGUUUCCUUGGGAAGUGUACCGUGUGCUCAUUGCCAUUAACAUGAAAAGUGACAUUGCCUUUGUUGCAAUCAAUAACAGCCCCUGCAGUAUUAAGAAAAGGUCUUCCAAGAAUAAUACACAUACUAUCAUCCUCGGGAAUAUCAAGAAUAACAAAGUCCGUUGAAAUAGUAAUGUUUGCAACCACAACAGGCACAUCCUCACAAAUACCGACAGGUAUAGCGGUUGAUUUAUCAGCCAUUUGCAAAGAUAUUUCAGUAGGUGUCAACUUAUUCAAGUCAAGUCUACGAUAUAAAGAGAGAGGCAUAACACUGACACCGGCUCCAAGAUCACAUAAAGCAGUUUUAACAUAAUUUCUCUUAAUGGAGCAUGGUAUAGUAGGUACUUCGGGAUCUCCAAGUUUCUUUGGUAUUCCACCCUUAAAAGUAUAAUUAGCAAGCAUGGUGGAAAUUUCGGUUUCAGGUAUCUUUCUUUUAUUAGUAAUGAUAUCCUUCAUAUACUUAGCAUACGGAUUUGUUUUGAGCACAUCAGUUAAUCGCAUACGCAAAAAGAUGGGUCUAAUCAUUUCGGCAAAGCGCUCAAAAUCCUCAUCAUCCUUUUUCUUGGAUGGUUUUGGAGGAAAAGGCAUGGGUUUCUGAACCCAUGGUUCCCUUUCUUUACCAUGUUUCCUAGCAACGAAGUCUCUUUUAUAAUAAUGUUGAUCCUUUGAUUGUGGGUUAUCAAGAUCAACAGUAGGUUCAACUUCUACAUCAUUAUCAUUACUAGGUUGAGCAUCAACAUGAACAUCAUCAUUAACAUUUUCACUAGGUUCAUGUUCAUCACCCGAUUGUGUUUCAGCAUCAGACAUAGAGAUAUCAUUUGGAUUCUCAGGUGGUUCAGCAAUAGGUUCACUAGAAGUUUGCAAAGUCCUGUCAUUUUUAUUUUUCUUCCUCUUAGAAGAACUAGGUAGAUCAAUAUUAUUUCUCUGAGAAUCUUGCUCGAUUCUCUUAGGGUGGCCUUCAGGAUACAAAGGUUCCUGAGUUAUUCUACCAGUUCUAGUAGCCAUUCUAACAGCAUAAUCAUUUUUCUUACUAUUCAUUUCAUCAAGCACUUCUUUCUGAGCUUUAAGUACUUGUUCUACUUGAGUGGUAACCAUAGAAGCAUGUUUGCUAACAAGUUUAAGUUCACCUCUAAUAUCAGCCAUAUAAUCACCCAAGCGUUUAAUCAUAAAGGUAUUCUGUUUCAAUUGUCUACCAAAAUAAGCAUUAAAGUCAUCUUUCUUAAACAUAAAGUCAUCAAACUCAUCCAAGCACUGACUAGCAAUUUUAGUAGGAGGAACUUCAGCUUUAUCAUAUCUAUAGAGAGAAUUUACCUUUACUACCUGUGUUGGGAUAUUGGGAGGUUCUUCAGUAAAUAAGCAAUUGAGAUCAUAUACUUCUUCAACAGGUGGUAAAUUAAGGCCAUGUAUUUCUUCAAUAGGAGGUAAAUUCUUAACAUCUUCAGCUUUAAUACCUUUUUCUUUCAUAGAUUUCUUUGCCUCUUGCAUAUCUUCGGGACUGAGAAAUAGAACACCUCUCUUCUUCGGAGUUGGUUUAGGAAUAGGCUCAGUAAUUGGCUCAGGAGCUGGCUCAGGAGGUGGCUCGGGAGAUGCCCAAUUAUUUUCAUUUGUCAACAUAUUAUUCAAUAGAAUUUUAGCUUCAUCCAGUGUUCUUUCCCUGAAAAGAGAACCAGCACAACUAUCCAGGUAAUCUCUGGAAGCAUCAGUUAGUCCAUUAUAAAAGAUAUCAAGUAUUUCAGGUUUCUUAAGAGGAUGAUCAGACAAAGCAUUAAGUAACUUGAGAAGCCUCCCCCAAGCUUGUGGGAGACUCUCUUCUUCAAUUUGCACGAAGUUGUAUAUUUCCCUCAAAGCAGCUUGUUUCUUAUGAGCAGGGAAAUAUUUAGCAGAGAAGUAAUAAAUCAUAUCCUGGGGACUUUGCACACAACCAGGAUCAAGAGAAUUAAACCAUAUCUUAGCAUCACCCUUUAAUGAGAAAGGAAAUAGUUUGAGUAAAUAAAGGUAGCGCGAUCUCUCAUUAUUAGUAAACAGGGCAGCUAUAUCAUUUAACUUAGUAAGAUGUGCCACAACAGUUUGAGAUUCAUAACCAUAGAAAGGAUCAAAUUCAACCAAAGUAAUUAUAUCUGGAUCAACAGAAAAAUCAUAAUAAUCCUUAUCGGGAACACAGAUAGGUGAAGUAGCAAAAGCAGGGUCGGGUCUCAUUCUAUCUCUAAGAGAUUCUUUACUCCACUUAACUAGCAACCUCUUAAGUUCAUAUCUAUCAUGGCAAGCAAAAAUAGCUGCAGAAGAUUCCGCAUCAAAAAGAUAACCCUCAGGAAUAGCAGGCAUAUUCUCAUCAUCACUAUCAUCAUCGUAUUCAGAUUCAAUAAUUUCUCUUUCUCUAGACCUAGCAAUUUGCUCAUCGAGGAAUUCACCGAGGGGCACAAUAGUAUCAAGCAUAGAAGUAGUUUCAUCAUAAGUAUCAUGCAUAGCAGAAGUGGCAUCAUCAAUAACAUACGACAUAUCAGAAUUCAUAGCAUAGCAGGUUUAGGUGUCGCUAGCUUACUUAUAACAGAAGGAGAAUCUAGUGCAAGGCUAGAUGGCAGUUCCUUACCCCCCCCCCUCGUAGUUGAGGGCAAAAUAGUAGUUCGAUCGUCUUUCAAGUUCUUCAUAGUAUCCAGCAGAUAUAAAUCCCAAGUGACUCAAAGAAUAGAGCUAUGCUGCCCGGCAACGGUGCCAGAAAAAGGUCUUGAUAACCCACAAGUAUAGGGGAUCGCAACAGUUUUCGAGGGUAGAGUAUUCAACCCAAAUUUAUUGAUUCGACAUAAGGGGAGCCAAAGAAUAUUCUCAAGUAUUAGCAGCUGAGUUGUCAAUUCAACCACACCUGGAAACUUAGUAUCUGCAGCAAAGUGUUUAGUAGCAAAGUAAUAUGAUAGUGGUGGUAACGGUAACAAAAGUAAAGACAGCAAAAGUAAUGUUUUUGGUAUUUUGUAGUGAUUGUAACAGUAGCAACGGAAAAGUAAAUAAGCGAGAACCGGUAUAUGGAAACCUCGUAGGCGCCGGAUAAGUGAUGGAUAAUUAUGCCGGAUGUGGUUCGUCAUGUAACAGUCAUAACAUAGGGUGACACGGAACUAGCUCCAAUUCAUCAAUGUAAUGUAGGCAUGUAUUCCGUAUAUAGUCAUACGUGCUUAUGGAAAAGAACUUGCAUGACAUCUUUUGUCCUACCCUCCCGUGGCAGCGGGGUCCUAUUGGAAACUAAGGGAUAUUAAGGCCUCCUUUUAAUAGAGAACCGGAACAAAGCAUUAGCACAUAGUGAAUACAUGAACUCCUCAAACUAUGGUCAUCACCGGGAGUGGUCCCGAUUAUUGUCACUUCGGGGUUGCCGGAUCAUAACACAUAGUAGGUGACUAUAGACUUGCAAGAUAGGAUCAAGAACACACAUAUAUUCAUGAAAACAUAAUAGGUUCAGAUCUGAAAUCAUGGCACUCGGGCCCUAGUGACAAGCAUUAAGCAUAGCAAAGUCAUAGCAACAUCAAUCUCAGAACAUAAUGGAUACUAGGGAUCAAACCCUAACAAAACUAACUCGAUUACAUGAUAAAUCUCAUCCAACCCAUCACCGUCCAGCAAGCCUACGAUGGAAUUACUCACGCACGGCGGUGAGCAUCAUGAAAUUGGUGAUGGAGGAUGGUUGAUGAUGACGACGACGACGAAUCCCCCUCUCCGGAGCCCCGAACGGACCCCAGAUCAGCCCUCCCGAGAGAGAUUAGGGCUUGGCGGCUGCUCCGUAUCGUAAAACGCGAUGAUUUCGUUUCUCUAAUUUUUUUUCUCCCCGAAAGCCAAUAUAUAGAGUUGGAGUUGGCGUCGGAGGGCCAACAGGGGGCCCACAAGGUAGGGGGCACGCCCCCCACCCUCGUGGACAGGGUGUGGGCCCCUUGGUCUUCAUCUUUGGCGAGGAUUUUUAUUGUUUUUUCUAAGGUGUUCCGUGGAGUUUCAGGUCAUUCCGAGAACUUUUAUUUUCUACACAUAAAACAACACCAUGGCAAUUCUGCUGAAAACAGCGCCAGUCCGGGUUAGUUCCAUUCAAAUCAUACAAGUUAGAGUCCAAAACAAGGGCAGAAGUGUUUGGAAAAGUAGAUACGACGGAGACGUAUCAGUGAUGACCGCGUGAACAAUGCACCUUUUAGUCCUCUACACACACCGGCCGAAGGGAUCCGGCUGGAUCUGUGGCCAGCGGUGAGCAGAGAGAAAAUGUCACUACCGCUGUCUUGUUUAUAUCUGGAGAGGAUGAGAGAAUGAAGAGAGCAACCCUAGUAAAGCAAGCGCUCAGGCCCCUGCGUCCAUAUAUAGUGGAGUGAUUAUCUUUUUUCUCUCCACAACAAGCGUUUCAAUUUGUGUACGUGGCAUUAAAGAAAAGAAACUCUCUAUUUAAGGUGACUACUGUACGACUCCUACUUACUACUAGUAGUACUACAGUAUUGUUCACUUGUGCUCCCCGCCCCUCCAUUCAUUGAACAACCCCACGGAUGAAUAAACAUACAAUAAGUACUGUAUUUAUAUAGAAUAGAACGAACAAGCUCGAACUAUUUUUGCGUAGUUAAAAGUUGAGGGCGGGGCUUUUCCCGGGCAGUACGCGCGGCAGUUUUCGGGUAGGCGGUUUGACAGAGAGGCGAGGAGGGUGAGCGAGUGGCAGAUUCUCAAACAUACUGCUGGAAAGGUCGGGCUGUGCGAUUUGACGGUGCGUUACUGCUGGAAAGACUUGUGAUAUGACCACUCACUAUAGUCAUGAAUUACUGGCGCUCCGACCGGGGUGAUGCCCCCCUCCUGUUCCGCGCUCUAAUCUGGUGCAUGACACGUCGACCCGGAUGCUGGCUCUCCCACAUGUCGGAGUAGUAAGAAGGAGCAAAGAAUGAUGCGGUAUAUACUAGUACUACUACUACCCAGGUCGGAGGAGUGCGAACCACGGCAGCCCAGUGAACCAGCAAUGCGAACCACGGCAGCCCAGUGAACAAGCAGUUCGAACCAUGGUAGCCCAGUGAACCAGCAGUAGAAAACAAUGUGGUGAUAUGGCCAUAAAAAACAAUGUGCUACGGUCCACACUGUAGCAUGUAAAGUAACACUCCUCUUUGUUUGGAUCCCUGAGUUAGAGCUAGUUUGGGUUGAAAUAGCCUCAAAUUAUCGAAACAAGAGGGGUUAGUUUGAGCUAGUUUGCUCUAACCUAGCUAAAAAAACUAGCCCGAUGGAGAGGUUCUAAUUUGGUUAGUUAUCCUCGGGCCCACCAAAAGUGAACUAAAAAAAUUUCCCAUGCCCGCAUGAGAUCACUCCCCCCCCUCUCGCACGACUCCUCUCUGUUCCCCAUAGGGCCGCCCGCCCAAGCACCGCUCGCCCUCUCUCUCCUCCGGCCACCCUCUCCUUCCGUCCUCCGCCGCCCUACUCUGGCCGCCCUCUCCCUCCGGGCUUCGAAGGUCGCCCUGCUCCCCCUUCACCAGUCUUUUUCUCCCUCUGUCGUACGCGGCGGCGGCACAUCUACCAGGGAGGUCGCGAGAGGGUGAGUUUGUUCAUUCCUUCUCUGUCUCACGGUCAUAUCAUUGAUCUUGCUUGCUCUAGCGCUAAUUCUGAUUUGGAAAAGUAGAUCCUGAUCAAACUUGGUAUAGAUUUGUGGUGCAUGCAUGGAAUUGUUUGAUGCUGCUUGAGGAGGUAAUCAAUCUUUCUAGAGGCCCAAUGAUUCAGUUCACCUUUCUAGGUAUUUCAAUUUCAGGCUUGCAUUAUUUCUAGAGGCCCAAAGAUUCAGUUCACCUUUCUAGGUAUUUCAGUUUCAGGCUUGCGUUAUUUCUAGAGGCCCAAAGAUUCAGUUCACCUUUCUAAGUAUUUCAAUUUCAGGCUUGCAUUAUUUCUAGGGGCCCAAAGAUUCAGUUCACCUUUCUAGGUAUUUCAGUUUCAGGCUUGCAUUAUUUCUAGAGACCCAAAGAGCCAGUUCACCUUUCUAGGUAUUUAAAUUUCAGGCUUGCAUUAUUUCUAGAGGCCCAAAGAUUCAGUUCACCUUUCUAGGUAUUUUAGUUACAGGCUUGCAUUAUUUCUAUAUGCCCAAAGAUUAAGUUCCCAGUCAGCAGCAAGCAGCCCUGCUACCGAUGCCGGUGUCGACCUCAACUCGGAAGGGCCGAUGUCGGAGGGGUUCCCGGGGCUUGGGCUCUACAGAGCCUUCCUCCAGAGCGACGAUGGCGAGCUCCUCCCUCGGUGCGUGAGGGGCUCCGGGCUCCCUCCCUAUCGUGAAUGACUUCCGUGAUGAGUUAGCUCAUGCUUUGUUCAUGAAGUGUUUUUUUUAUUUUGUGAAGCUUGAUUGAUGACUUGUAUGUUUAAGUGGGAUAUCUCAUUUGUAUGGACAAAGUAAAAAUUAUCAUGUUUUGCAUGCUUGAUUUGUAUAGAUGGUUCGUUUAUGUCAAUUGUGAGCGGGAGGAGGCCACAGAAGAGCCGGCCACACCAAAUCCGGCAGGAAAUAGGGUCCAAAGUAGUCAAAUGAUUAAGAAAGAGCAUUUAUUGUCAAUCUAACCCUGCCAUCCAUACACCUCUUUGGUUUAGAGUUAGUUCAGGGUUAGAAUCUAACUCUAACCUCUAACUGAGUUAGAGUUCUCCUCGUCUCGGUUCAUCGCCAUCAUACUUUCCCCAUUCCUGUGUUUUCGGUAUCCUGCGAAUCAAAGAGGCCCUUUUUUGCGGGAAAAAUCAAAGAGGCCCUUAGACUGGUUUAGAUCCGGUCAUUUUUUAUAAACGUGUUAUGUCCAAAAUUUAAUGAACGUGCUCUGGUUUCCACGAAAAUAAUUCGGUUUCAUGUAGUAAUUCAUUCAUUUAUUUAUUCUUCUACGGGGGGUUUGCAUGUAAUUCAUGAGGUCUGAAAUGUAAAGUACCCCGGCAUAUGCUCCGAGUCAUGCAUGCACCACGACCCAGAUGCUCUAUGUCCCACAUGUCGGCGAAUGGGAGCAUGUGGAAAUAGCCUAGGAGUACAUAUAGGAGGAUAAAUGCGUGAAAAAAUAUGUACUGUGAAGCAUAGCCGUGGUUCAAAAAGGAGACCUAAAGUGAUGACAGCUAUAGGUCGCACGCAUCCAACUAGUGGUACUAGACAUACGACUAAUUUUUCCCUAAAAAAAGAGGCACGAGUGCUCAGUACUCCUAUUCUAGAAACACGAGUCCCAUCUGACAAUAGCGUCCGUGCUACAGCUAGCUCUCCUUCCCCGUUUCUCUCUUCUAAUUCUAAACUCGGCCGACGCCCGGUGGGCGGGGUGGGUUUGCUCAACUGCGGCCCCACCUCACAGUGAAAACAUUACGAGUGGAGUAAAAAUGCCAUAUACUCCCUCCGUUCCUAAAUAUAAGCCUUUUCAGAUACUAUUUCAAAUGGAAUACAGCAUACAGAUGUAUGUAGACAUAGUUUAGAGUGUAGAUUCACUAUUUUUUUAUUAUGCAUGUCAGAUAUUGUACACAAUCGUACUGAACAUGUAGAGAAAAAGAGAAGACCGUUGCGUGGGAAUAUAAUGUCAUGCAGACGCCGCUCCAUCGUGGGCGAAGUGCCCCCCCCCCCCUCCUGCAUUUCCAGAUUGUAUUCCAGAGGAAGAUAACUGUUCAGAUGGAGAUUCAGAAGGAGCUGACCACGCCUGUUUACCACCUGAGGUGUUUGCUCUAACCUGGCAUGCUGAUGUUGGUCAUAUCAUGCAUAUGGCGCCUUGCAUUUCUUACAUUAUACAUCUUAUAUGUCAUCAGCUUUGUUUAGAUUUGCUUUGUGUGAAUGCCACCUGUUUGGUUUCUAUAUCAUACUCCCACCAUUCCUAAAUAUUUGUCUUUUUAGAGAUUUCAACAAGUAACUACAUAUGGAACAAAAUGAGUGAAUCUACACUCUAAAAUAUGUCUAUAUACAUCUGUAUGUGGUAGUCCAUUUGAAAUCUCUAAAAAGACAAAUAUUUAGGAACGGAGGGAGUAUAUGGGAAUUAUGCAAUGCCAUCUUCUUUAGCCAGGCAUCAUAUACGUGAAUCAUGCAAUGCCAUCCUGUUUAGCCAGUCAUCAUAUAUAUGAAUUGUAUUGUGCCAUAUUUUUUUCCAUAAUGUAUUCCAUUUGUCAACAAUGUUUAUACAUUCAUCUACUCUUCAUGUGCAUCAGCCAUUUGAGUCGGUCAUAGGAAAAUCUGGAGUGAAAACAAGGUCUUCUGAGUAGUCAGUGCUACCUGUCAAUGCAGAUUUCUUGCUGGUUACAGAUAGCUCCUCAGAGGAGGAUUCAGAGACAGAUGGCCAGUNNNNNNNNNNNNNNNNNNNNNNNNNNNNNNNNNNNNNNNNNNNNNNNNNNNNNNNNNNNNNNNNNNNNNNNNNNNNNNNNNNNNNNNNNNNNNNNNNNNNNNNNNNNNNNNNNNNNNNNNNNNNNNNNNNNNNNNNNNNNNNNNNNNNNNNNNNNNNNNNNNNNNNNNNNNNNNNNNNNNNNNNNNNNNNNNNNNNNNNNNNNNNNNNNNNNNNNNNNNNNNNNNNNNNNNNNNNNNNNNNNNNNNNNNNNNNNNNNNNNNNNNNNNNNNNNNNNNNNNNNNNNNNNNNNNNNNNNNNNNNNNNNNNNNNNNNNNNNNNNAACUUGGCUGGGUUAUAUUGCUCAUAUCAUGCAUAUGGUGUCUUGCAUUGCCAUGCCAUCUGCUUAGAUUAGACAUGCUUUGUGUGAAUGCCUCCUAUUUGCUUUCUAUAUCAGAUAUGUGAAUUAUGCAAUGCCAUGUUUUUCAGCCAGUUAUCAUAUAUGUGAAUUAUGCACCAACAUGGAGCCAGACAUCAUAUAUGUGAAUUAUCUCAUGCCAUCUUUUUUUCAAUUACGUAUUCCAUUUGUCGACAAUCUGUGUAUAUUGAACUACUCUUCAUGUGUAUCAUCCAUUUGAGCCAGUUAUGGAAAAAUCUAGAGUGAAAACAAGGUCUUUAGAGUAGGCAAUGGUACAUGUUGAAGCAUAUAUCUCGAUGGUUACAGGGAGCUCCUCAGAGGAGGAUUCAGAGAUAGAUGACCAGUCUUAUAUCCCACCUGAGGUGUAUGCUCUAAGUUGCAAUGUUUAUAUUUCUCAUAUGAUGCAUAUGGUGUCUUGCAUUGCUUAGUUUAGACAUCAUAUGCACAAUAUUGAAUUCUAUCUGCUUAGUUUAGAGAUCAUACAUGCGAGUGCCAGCUGCUUAGUAUAUGAAUCAAUUAUGUCAAUUAUAUCAUGCCAUCAUGUAUACUUAGACAACAUGUAUGUGAAUUAUUUUAUCCCAACCUAUUUUAGAAAGACAUCAUAUAGUUUUGUCCUGUCAUCCUGUUUAGGUACUCAUCAUAUGUUGAAUUAUGCCAUUAUAUCCUGUUAAGUUAUCCAUCAUAUAUCUGAAACUGUGUCAUGCAAUCCUGUUUAGUUAGGCAUCAUAUAUGUGAAAUUGUGUCAUGCUGUCAUGUUUGGUUAGACAACAUAUAUGUGAAUUACCACAUCUGUCUAUCAUACAGUGUCUAUACGUUCAAUUUCUUUUCUUGUUUAUCAGCCAUUUGAAUUGGAGGGGGUGAUGGCAGUAUCUAAGGGAGCAAAAACCCGUUCUUCACAAAAGAUAGUGCUACCCGUCGAUGUAGAUAGAACCAUGGUUGUACUGGCCCACAAACUAGCCCCACCACACAUAAUCGAGACUCUUCCAGAUUGCACACUUACACCAUUCGGCAGAGAACCAGCUACAACCCAUCUAACCGCAACCCCAGCGGAUAGUAACCCACUUCUAGUUGACAAAGCACCAUAUCCACCACAGAGUACCCCCACAUGAGCAGUUUGUAAAGCUAGUGCAGUGCCCAAAGCACGAAGACCACCACAGCUAACCCAAACUCCACGUUUAAAGCAGAAGAGCAAUUGUUCUUAGGUCAGAUUCUGUAGCUAUGGUCCAUACUCCUUUGUUGUUGCAUCACUGUAUUUACUCAUACCAACUACUUCCGAAUUUGAAGGAUCCAAUUGAAACUCCAAUGGCGCAACAGGUAUGUUUUAAACCUAUUUCUUUAACUGGAUUGCUGUUCUAACUUCUUGCUCUAUGUUGAUUUCAGUUUAAGUUGUAUAAACAAUUAUGUUCUCAUGUGAUGCACAUUACAAGUGCUGCCAAUGUUGUGUAGUUUAUCACACUUAUAUUCUGUCUAUGCUGCUGUGUCUUAAAAAUAUAUGAGUUGAACUAUGUCUCUAUCUUGAUUAGGGAACAUAAACUAGAAUGAUAUGGACAAUACAGUGACCAUAGUACAUAGAUAUAUGUUUGUUUCAUGUUGUUAUCCUGUCCACCUUACUACUGAACCGGUUUACCAAAAUGAGUUUCAUAUACUACAUGCUAAACCUGUGAUGUGUCUGCUUGUUUCUCUUGUACGUAGUAUGCAAACAGAAUAUUGGAGAAGAGCACCCCACUAUGCAAUGGUAGAGAAAGUAAUGCAGAUAAGGUUCAAGAUAGUGAGACAACCCUGUUGGUCUCCAAGAAAGGUGAUAAAAACGAUCUUGUAGAUAGUGAGAAAACCCCACAGUCCUGCAUUGAUGUAGUGUUCGAGUUACUGGCCAGUACCGCUGGCACAAGCUCUUCGAACUCACUGCCUGAAUCACUUUGGCUUCUUCAGUCUCAGCUACAAGCUGAAAGGCAUCAGUCAGCUAUGCUGUGGCAAGAAGCCGAAGGGCUGAGGAAGUCCCUGCAGAAUUCAGAUGUGUACUUUCUUGUGCAACAGCAAGCGCUGGAGGAUUUAAGCGCCAAACAAGAGAAAGUUAAUAAGCUUGCUAAGCAUCUUGCCAGCAUUAUGGGUACCCAGGAUAUUGUUUCUUGAACUCUUCUGAAGUGGUUUCAGUUCUGGACUUGUUUUGCUGCGGCGUUUAUAUGCUGCUUUGUUCCCUAUAUUUGCACUGGUGGCGAACUUUGAUGCCCAGUGGAUGUAAUAUGUGUAAUAGCCGUGAUAGCCUAGCAUAAGUUGCUUGCUUAUUUAUUUCCUUGUUGUCUUGUUUAUUUUUUUGCUUGUAGUCAGUGCAAUUCUUUUUUCGCGGUUUGCUAGUGGCUGCAAUAACCUAUUUUUUAAAACUAGGCCACAAUAACCAUGGGCUAAUAUUUAUUGUAGUGACACUGGGCCUCCUACGGGCCGUAGAAACAGUGGGCCUUCUACGGGCCGUAGAAACAAUGGGCCUUCUACGGGCCGAAUCACAAUGGGACUUAUACGGGCCGUAUGACCGAUUGGCCAAACAUGGGCCAAUAACAGGCAGCAUUAUGGCCGUAAAUGGGCUAGAGUUGGAAUCGUCCGUUCAUAGGCCGACCAUAAUGGGCCAUCAUUAAUAGGUCGUAUUUGAUGAUGCUAUGAAAACGGCCCAACGUAUUAACGGACCACAAACGGGCCGACUCUAACCACGGGCUGAAUUUGGCCCACAAGCAAAAAAUGACAAUAACGGGCCGUAAGUAAACGAAUGCUGGAAAUGAGCCCAAUAAUAAAUGGGCUCUGAGAAGGCUGAAAGAUAACAUGGGCUAGAAAUGGCCCAACGGAAUAACGGGUCGUUAAUGGGUAUAAAGUGAUACACUAUUCAUUAUGGGCCAGUUUCACCACGGACCGUUAAUGGGUGUAAAAUGAUACACUGUUCAUUACGGGCCAGUUUCACCACGGGUCGUUAAUAGGCCAAGAGUUACAUAGGGCCUCAUAUGGGCCGAAAGACGUCAUGGGCCAUACAUGGGCCAGAAGUGAAAACGAGCUGGAAUCAUAUUGGAUGGCCCAGAUGACGCUACUGGGCCUAAUUCGGAUAGGGCGUAACAACCCUUGGGUUAGCGGGUUGUAAAUGGGCUAUAUGCGAAUAGGCCGUUAACAGGCUUUACAUGGGUCGGCCCGCCACCUUUUGACCAAGUCAAACGGGCCGGCCUUUUCAUAGGAAUGGGCCUCUAUUGGGUCGUACCACGUGUUGACGUAUCAUAGGCGCCUUCUGUCCAAUGAGUGGAUGACAUCUGUCCCAACGAUGAGCCGACACGUGUUUCCUCCAACCAAUGAUGAUUUUACACGUGGAAAAUCCCCAUUGGUCGGGGCUAUUAACGGGUUAUCGAAUCCAAAACCCGACCCGAUAGCUUAACAACGUUCCAUUACGGUGGAUGCCACAUGUCGGUCACCCUUGACGAAAGCACUUCUGUGACGCGCGAUUUAUCGUCAUGGAAGUGGACACUUUCGUGAUGAUAAUUUUGGUAAUGUCAUGGAACACUUCUAUGACAGCACAUGUAUGACUAUCUUGAUUAUGUCAUAAAAUCGUCAUGGAUAUACAUGCAUGACAAAAACGUGACCUACUGUAACGAACACGUAUCAUCACAGAAGUGUAUUUUUUUGUAGUGUGUGAUGGUCACCUAUAAAAAAAGAAAAACACUGGAAAAGAAAAUCCAGUGUGGCCGUACAUAAAGUCUGUUUGAUGAACCUUUAAAGGUAACCGUAGAGUCCGAAUAGGGUCAAGCCGAACUAUGGACUAUUUGUGUGCAGUAUGCCCCCAGCGCUGCUCAAGGGAUUUUGAGGAUGUACUUGUGUAUACGAGGUACGUAUGAUGUCGCCUUAUGAGGCAGUCGAUAGGGGCGUAACUGCUAAUCGAGCUCCGGUUUAUCUGAGCUGCCGCACUAAGGUGUACUUCGGACACGUUUAGUUGUGUCUGUGGUCUUAACGACCGCUGAUCUGUUUGGCUUGAGUAGGCCGUUUUGGACUUUGACUGCUAGGGCCGCAGUGUCCUUCUCCUACGGAGAGAGUGUUCCAUAUUUCCACUGACCGUAAUGACGCCCCGUGGUCUGGGGAUUUUGAGCUUUAAAUAAGUAUAAUGUGGGACGACAUUAAAGCGGGCGAAGGUCGUUCUUCCGAGUAGUGCAUGAUAGCCACUUCGGUACGGAGCUAUGUCGAAGAUUAGCUCUUCGCUUCGAAAGAUAUCAGGAGAGCCGAAUACGACUUCCAAUGUUAAAGAGCCCGUGCAGCGGGCUUCUACGCUCGGUAUAACUCCUUUAAAGGUCGUGCUACUUGGCUUGAUUCUUGACAGGUCUACCCCCAUUUUGCGGACAGUGUCCUGAUAUAUCAGAUUUAGGCUGCUGCCGCCGUCCAUGAGGACUCGAGUGAGAUGGUGUCCAUCGAUUAUUGGGUCGAGCACUAGGGCAGCCAAACCCCCAUGGCGGAUACUAGUUGGGUGGUCCCUGUGAUCAAAGGUGAUCGGACAUGCCAUCCAUGAGUUGAAUUUGGGAGUAACAGGCUCAACGGCAUAGAUGUCUCGGAGUGCGCGUUUGUGCUUCCUCUUUGGGAUAUGAGUGACGUAAAUCAUAUUCACUGUUUUGAUCUCCGGUGGAAAUUUCUUCUGUCCUCCUGUGUUCGGCUGGCGAGAUUCAUCCUCGUCUUCGCUCUGAGGUCCCCUCUCCUUGUGUUCGGCGGUGAGCUUGCCGGCCUGCUUGAAUACCCAACAACUGCGGUUGAUAUGGUUCACAGGUUUGGUGGGGGUGCCACGGAUUUGGCAGUUCCUGUCUAGUAUUUUGUCUAGGCUAGAUGGACCAUCUUUGUUUCCUUUAAAUGGUUUCUCCGUUGACCGGGUCUGGAGCCACUGAAUCCGACAUUUACUGCCGUAUCAUCUGGGCUUCCCUCAUUGUUUCGACGUUUGUUUCUGUUACGUCGUGGCUUUCCAUUGCCAUCCCUGACUUCGGAUGUGCCAGGUUUGCUGGUGCUGCUAUGGGCUAGCCAGCUGUCCUCGCCCGCGCAAAAACGGGUCAUCAGUGUAGUUAGGGCUGUCAUUGUCCUUGGUUUUUCCUGGCCGAGGUGUCUAGCUAGCCAUUCGUCUUGGACGCUGUGCUUGAAGGCUGCUAAGGCCUUGGGGUCCGGGCAAUCAACAAUUUGGUUCUUCUUAGUGAGAAACCGGUUCUAAAGCUUACGGGUUGAUUCCCCAGGUUGUUGGAUUAUGUGACUUAGGUCGUCAGUGUUCAGGGCCCGGACAUAAGUCCCUUGUAAAUUGGCCCAAAAAGCAUCCUCAAGUUCUUCCCAACUUCCAAUGGAAUUUUCUGGGAGGCUUUUCAGCCAGUGUCGAGUUGGUCCUUUCAGCUUGAGGGGUAAGUAUUUGAUGGCGUGGAGAUCAUCUCCCCGAGCCAUGUGGAUGUGAAGAAUAAAGUCUUCUAUCCAGACUGCCGGAUCCGUCGUUCCAUCAUAUGCCUUGAUGUUUACGGGUUUAAAUCCUUCUGGAAAUUCGUGAUCCUGCACCUCAACGGUGAAGCACAGGGGAUGAGCGGCACCCCUGUAUUUGACUGUGUCGUCGCGUGGGUUCGACGGUUGUGAUGCUCGGCAUUGACUCUAAACUGCUAUAUGACCAGCAUAUUUGGUUUGAUAGCCACAAUCCCGUGUGGGGGCACGGUCCAUAGAUUCGUAGAUGGAUCUGGCUUUACUGGCCUUUUUGUCCAGGUCCUCACGUAGAUCGUGUUUCUGGUCUUGAGCCGCAACCUCCCUUCCUUUACGGGGAGGGGGUGCAGGCUUGUGUACGGCAUUGCUAGCCGCUCUGUCUCGACCACGAGGUGGUCGGUCCGGCUUGUCGGCCGUAUUGUUUUUCGGUGGUAUAGGCGCAAUAGCCUCGUCGUCGAAUUCGGGCAAUAUUACGCUUAGGAUAGCCCCUUGUUUGGCGAUUGCAGCCAUAUUUUUCCUCGGCGUCUAGCACUUCGUUCCAUCUGUUAUUGAGCGUAUCCUGAGUGACUUUAAGCCACUGCUCCUGCUUCUUUAGGCUCCUUGCGGUGGCGAUAAGCCUUUGAUGGAGGCGUACUUGUUCUAAGGGUUCUUCUGGGACGACGAAUUCGUCGUCGCCCAAGCUGACUCCUCUUCGGAGAUAGGUUGGUAAUUGCUAUCUUUGGCAUCGCUACGAUCAGACAACAUCGCCGGACUGUGCUCGCCGUCUUCUCACGCAUCCUGCUCCAACGCUGGGUCUGCGGGGUCCUUAGUUUGGUUCGGAUUAUCAUCGUCGUCAGUGACAAUGUUGCUGUUUUUCCUUCUGCCGGAUCAAGGUCGGUGCUUCUGACACCGACGCUUGGAGGUUCAUCGACAGGCAUACUGUUAUCGUCGUCGGCCUCCUUCUCUUUAGGUGUGUCCACCAUGUAUAUAUUGUAUGAGGAUGUAGCCGUCCACCACCCUAUGGGUGGUGGUUUUUGUGCCUGCUCCUCUCCGACAUCGUCGUCCAUACCGUCGAUGUCCUCGGAGCCAUAAUCGAGCGUGUCGGUUAAGUCUUCGACAGUGGCAAUGAAGUGGGUGGUGGGUGGGAAGCGAAACUCCCCGUCAUCAGAUUCCCAUUCAAGCCGGAAAUAGUUCGGCUGAGAUUCUCCUGAUAAGGAGAGGGCUCUUAAUGAGCUCAGCACAUCACCAAAAGGUGAGUGCCGGAAGAUGUCCGUGAAGCUGAACUCAAUGAUCGGCGCCCGAUCAGGUUCGAUGGGCACGGAUGCACGUGGUUCGGGACCUAUGGCCGGAGAUGAAUCUGAGGUUCCGAUAACACAGGGCCCACUUGAGGUUGGAUCUGUGUGCGGCUCUAUCGCCGCUGAGUUUGCGCCUUCCGUAGCGGGGUUGAGCAUCCCGUCCUCGGAUGGCGCGAUCUGCUCCGGAUCUAGGGCCAGAGCAAUUGUAGGUGUUAUCUCCUGAGCACGGUCCGAUGACAGAUUUAGGUUAUGUUCAUCGUGGUGACAGGGAGCGGCCGUCAUGGGCUCGAAUCUAUCGAAAAUCAAAUCUCCGCGGAUAUCCGCCACAUAAUUCAGGCUUCCAAAUCUGACCCGAUGGCCAGGGGCGUAGCUAUCGAUCUGCUCCAGAUGGCCAAGCGAGUUGGCUCGCAGUGCGAAGCCGCCAAAUACGAAGAUCUGUCCGGGGAGGAAAAUCUCCCCCUGGACUGCAUUGUUGUAGAUGAUUGAUGGGGCCAUCAAACCUUUUGAUGACAACGCAGCGGAACUCUCAAUGAAAGCACAAAUGUCAGUGUCAAAACCGGCGGAUCUCGGGUAGGGGGUCCCGAACUGUGCGUCUAAGGUCGAUGGUAACAGGAGAACGGGGACACGAUGUUUACCCUGGUUCGGGCCCUCUCUAUGGAGGUAAUACCCUACUUCCUGCUUGAUUGAUCUUGAUGAAUAUGAGUAUUACAAGAGUUGAUCUACCACGAGAUCGUAAUGGUUAAAACCCUAGAAGUCUAGCCUAUGGGAUUAUGAUUGUGUCCUAUGGACUAAACCCUCCGGUUUAUAUAGACCGGAGGGGGCUAGGGUUGUACAAAGUCGGUUACAGAGAAAGGAAUCUACAUGUCCGAAUCGCCAAGCUUGCCUUCCACGCAAAGGAGAGUCCCAUCCGGACACGGGAAGAAGUCUUUUGUCUUGUAUCUUCAUAGCCCGACAGUCCGGCCCAUUUAUAUAGUCCGGUCGUCCGAGGACCCCUUAAUCCAGGACUCCCUCAGAUAUCGUUCCAAAAAUCGUAUCGUGGUCACAAACGCUCUCCAUCUCCCUUUCGUAUCUUAUAUGCCAACCACACCGGCCACUCCCAGCCACACAUCCACUCCAUUGUAUCCCCCUCUCCUCAAGCUAUUUUUUUUAAUAAUACACUUUUUUAUUAAUUUUCAAAAAUAUUACAUCUAUAUUUAAAAAGAAAAAUUACAUCGGCGGCCUUCUAGUAGCCGACUGGAUCCAGUAAUCAAGGAGAAAGCCGAUUGGCACCCUGUCGGCUACAGGGUGGUCGAUUGGCCUCCUGUCGGCCAAGGGGUUGCCGACAGCCCUAUCGGCCGCUGGUUGUAGAUCUUGUCGGUUACCUAGUGGAUGGCAGGAACUAAUUGUAUUCCUGCGGAUUAGGUCUAAUUGGCUUCCCCUAAGCCGAUAGGUGCAUGCACCCAUAUUCUCCCACUAUGUUUCCCGCCAGUAUCUCCCGCCAUAUUUCCCGCUUUCUAGUUCCCGUCAUAUUUUUCUCGCUUUCUAGUUCUCGUCACAUUUUUUUGAUUUCUAGUUCCCGCCAUAUUUUCUCGCUUUCUAGUUCCCACCUAUAUCUCCCGCCAUAUUUCCCCACUUCCGAGUUCCCGCCUAUUUUUUCUUCUCAACCUAUAAAACACUCACGGCACUAUGGUGGGUAAGCAUUCUAGUGUAGUGCCUCGCGAAGAUGUCCAGGUAUCCUUUUGAUCAUAGUUUUCACCCUGGUAUGUCCAAAUGUCUUCUAUGUUUAGCCACCGAUUUUAGGUUGACAUAUGAACUCAUCAGUAGUGACACGCUACUGAAUGCGCUAGCUCACACGUAAGUAUGUGCGGGUGGAUUUCCAGGACCUUUCAGGAGAUACGGAAAGAACUUCUCAGGUUGCAUGGAAGAUGGAUGAAGAAACAAUCUAAGAGUGAAAAAUACCUAAAGGUUGCAGCAGAACAUACUUUUUUUUGGACGGCCGACCGCGAGGAUGAAGACGAUAUCUUCAUGCCAAGCACCAAGGCCAAGAGUACCACACCGUCGAAGGGCAAGAGUUGUGUAUCAUCGAAGGACAAGAGUUCUUCAUAGUCAAAGGGCAAGAGUUCUGCAUCGAGGAGAAGGACGAUGAUGACUUCAUGUCGUUUUUACGUUGUGUUUUAAGUUCAAUCCUACCGUUUAAUUCAGAUGUAGUUAUAUCCAGUUGUUUGUACUAUUUUAUUGUACGAGUAUGUUCUAUCUAAAUAUGAUGUUGUAGUUGGCGCACGACGUUGGAUAACAGAGUACUAAAAUAGAGGAGGCAUAUGUAUCAUGUUGGAAAUAUGCCCUAGACGCAAUAAUAAAGUGGUUAUUAUUAUAUUUCCUUGUUCAUGGUAAUCGUUUAUUAUCCAUGCUAUUAUUGUAUUGACUGUAAACUCAAAUACAUGCGUGGAUAUACAGACAACAACAUAUCCCAAGUGAGCCUCUACCGGACUAACUUGUUGAUCAAAGAUGGCUAUGGUUUCAUAGUCAUAGACAUGAGUUGUCAUUUGAUAAUGGGAUCACAUCAUUAGGAGAAUGAUGUGAUGAAAAAGACCCAAACUAGAAGCGUACCAUAUGAUCAUAUCAAGUUUAUUGCUAUCGUGUUCUGCAUGUCAAGUAUCUGUUCCUAUGACCAUGACAUCAUGCAACUCACUGACACCGAAGGAGUACCUUGUGUAUCAAACGUCGCAAAGUAAAUGGGUGACUAUAAAGAUGCUCUACAGGUAUCUCCGAGGGUGUCUGUUGAGUUGGCAUGGAUCAAGACUGGGAUUUAUCACUGUAUGACGGAGAGGUAUCCUAGGGCCCACUCGGUAAUACAGCAUCACAAUGAGCUUGCAAGCAAUGUGACUAAAGAGUUAGCCACAGGACCUUGUAUUAUCGAACGAGUAAGGAAACUUGACGGUAACGAGAUUGAACUAGGUAUGGAGAUACCAACGAUCGAAUCUCGGGCAAGUAACAUAUCGCCGGACAAAGGGAAUUGCAUACAGGAUUGACUGAAUCCUUGACAUCUGGUUCAACCGAUAAAGAUCUUCGUUGAAUAUGUAGGAACUAAUAUAGGCAUCCAGGUCCCGCUAUUGGUUAUUGACCGGAGAGGAGUCUCGAUCAUGUCCGCAUAUUCCCGAACUUGUAGGGUCGCACGCUUAACGUUCGAUAGCCUUAGGGUAGUAUUGAGAUAUUAAUAGUGGAAAGUACGGAGGUUGUUUGGAGAUCCGGAUGGGAUUCGGGACAUCAUGAGGAGCUUCAGAAUAGUCCUGAGGUAAAGAUUAAUAUAUGGAAAGUUGUUAUCGGGGUUCCAGAAAAAGUUCGAGUUUUUUCGAUAUUGUACCGGGAAGGUUCUGGAGUAGGGCCCACCGGCAUGGGGGACCCACAUGAACGUGGGUUGUGGGGAAAGUCCCCACGACCCUAGUCAAGGCGCACCAAAAUCCUCCCUUAAAAGGAAUAGUAUCAUAUCCCAACAUAUUAAUAGUUGAAACAGGAUCAAAGCUCUUCAAGGCANNNNNNNNNNNNNNNNNNNNNNNNNNNNNNNNNNNNNNNNNNNNNNNNNNNNNNNNNNNNNNNNNNNNNNNNNNNNNNNNNNNNNNNNNNNNNNNNNNNNNNNNNNNNNNNNNNNNNNNNNNNNNNNNNNNNNNNNNNNNNNNNNNNNNNNNNNNNNNNNNNNNNNNNNNNNNNNNNNNNNNNNNNNNNNNNNNNNNNNNNNNNNNNNNNNNNNNNNNNNNNNNNNNNNNNNNNNNNNNNNNNNNNNNNNNNNNNCAUCGCCCGACCCGAUGUCGGGCCUUAUGCAUUUGCCCGAAGAUCUUGAACCAAGGGUAGGAGGUCGGAGAUCUCCACGGCAACGCCUCCAAGGAGGGGAACGACGCCCGCGGGCGCCACCGCUGCCGGUUGGCAACAACCGGGCAGCUCUUCACCCGAAGCAUUUCGAACACCACCUCCACGCGCCGCAAUCCGCUGACCCGCUCGCCUCCCACACAGAAAUCACGCUGUCGCCAUACGGGAGCCACCACAUACCUUGCCGGCACCAUGCCGGGCUAGAUCCGGCUGCAACCGAAUCACCAUCUAGCCUCACCCAGAACCCCAGCCGCCUGCAGCCACUGAACAAAUGAAGCCGCCGGGCUAGCAAGCCGGCCAGAUUUGCAGCACCGCUCGGGAGGGGGCUGCCACCCUGCCCCAUCCCGCAGCGCGGAGCUGCCGGCCCAAAGCCCAGGCAGCUUGCAGUAGCCGCUGCACCGCCAAGAGGGCGCCGCUGAAUAGGCAGAAGCCGUCGGCUGCCACCCCAUCUGCUGGAUCCACACGCCAGGAGUCACCAAGCCGCCGCCAUCCGCUGGAUCCACAAUGGCAGGAGCUGCCAGAGCACCACCGAGACGCUGCUGAGCCGAGCACCACCAUCCCGUGCAGACCGCAGGCACCGCUCGUCGCCACGCUAGAUCCGCACCUGGCCGCGCACGCCCACAGCUCCGCGACGCCAAGGGAGAUGGCCGCCGCCAGCACCGCACGGCGAUGAGAAGAAGAAGAUGAUGUAUAUCCUAAGGAAGUCUAUCAAUAUUUUUGUUACUCAUGGAUCAAUGCAUUCUGGUCCUAUGCUUUAGAAAGGAAAAACAGUUUGAACCCCACAACGGUUAGGGUCACUUAUGCCGAAUAAUCCAAAAGUUCCAGGACAUCAGCAUCCACUCGACAAACAACUGCGGACAUUCUACUCGCCAAUGAUUCAACAACAUAUAUUAGCAUCUGCGCUGAUAAGAUUUAAGAUACAGCGCGAUGAAAUUACGAGAUGAGACAGACUCUGUUGUUGGAAUUUGUAUACAGCCGAAACUGCAGCAACAUCUACAGUAGUGCGCAAAGCUUGACUGCCGGUGUGUGUAGCUGAAAGAAACAAGGGCACGUACCUCUACACACGAGGUGAUGAAGGACGUCUCCAGAGGGGAUCGCAGUGGUUGAAGCUUCUUCAGUUUCGUCGGACUUGAAUUUCUACUCUGAAAUGAACCACCAUAUCUGCAUCCCUGACUUUCUUAUGGGCGCAAAAUGAGAUUGUGUGAACGAUAACCACAACUUGACAAGGAAAACACCUCUGCUAACCUCAUUAACUCAACUGAAAAUACGUAUUUCUGAACACUCCCUGAACUUGCUUUUACAGAUUACAAAAAUUCCUCUGCUAACCUCAUUAACUCAACUUGUAAUAAUGCACUCGUAUUUCCCAACUCCUGAAUCACUGUAAUGAUUACCACUACCAUCCAGGACCAGUCACGCAAAAGUACCUGCUAGUUUACUUAGGUAACUGAAAUUGUCAGGGAACUCCAUGAACCAUCCCCACUUGCUUGCAUCUGCUACACUUUACCCUACUGUGGAUCUCUUGUCCAGCAAUACCACAGCAUUUUCUAGGGAAGCAGUUACCCACAACAAUUGUGGUACAGGAGGCCUUUCAUGCAAGGCUUCCUAUACACUCACGACUUCCCUUCAGGGAACGCAAGUAAAACACCGACCUUGUACAGCUUGCCACCACAUUGUGUGACGAUUCGGUAUUCGACUAGACAAUCUGUGCAACUUCUACUCGCUUCAUUCACUGCUACUCAAUGUAAAAUAUUAGGAGACCAUGACAGUUCUAAUGCAAAGGAUACAGAGGAGCUAACUGCAGUCCCCUCCACAUUUUCUCAUCCGGGCUUGGGACCGGCAAAGGCAGUGUUAAACUACUCCUACUUAAACACAGAAAACAGCCAACACUACAAACAAUUACAUUCAGCUAAAGCAUACAAGCCACGCAAUCAACCAAAGGUAGCAUUGGCACACGAUUGGCAAUAAAGUAUUCACGCAACAUUUUUGGAAGAUCAUAACACAGACAUGAGGCACAAACAAAGAAUGCCAUAAAUUCCAGAACCUGAAUGGACUAAUGUAUCUAGUGGGAUGAGCGUGAUUCAAAACUUUGCACAGAGAAAGCUUUGCAAGAUUUAGCCAUUAUAAAGGGUCAGAGGACCGUAAGAUGUGUAGACAGAUACUUCUGUGUCCUUAAAAUCUACAUAUAGGAUUUAUUAUGUAGUAUGAAACAGAAUGGGUUUGUCUAAGUUUCUAGUUAAGAAUAUGCAAUCGGCAGGAAUCAUCAAAUUAGUACUUCUGCUAGUUGCCAACUAAUUUAAAACUAGGAAGUAGGCAGAAAACUAAGAAUAUGUAAUUGAAGAGAAUGUGUGGUUCAAGAUUCAGAGCAGUUCACCGGCAAAGAAGGUCAAUUAGCCAUUAGAGGAUGUGUGAACGCUAUGAAUUAUAGAUUUAAGAAUAAGUAAUGGAAGAUUCCAUAAUCCAGAUCAAAUUAGCAGUUUGCGUAAAGAGAUCAAAUUAGCCAUUGGAGGACCGUAGAGAUGUGUGAGCGCUUUGUGACUUUAAAUCCAGGAUGAAGUACAAAACAAACUGCCAUAUGUUGAAAGUAAUCAGCAGGAUUCAUCCUCAAAUUAGCCAGUGUGUUCAGGAAUCAUCAAAUUAGCCAGACUGUUCUGCUAGGUGUCAAUUUAACCAAACCGAGAAGAUGCAUUGAAGAAUCCAGAUCUCACUGGAGAAGUACCAAUGAGAAUAACAUCACUUCUGAAAAUCAACUCCAUACCAACAAAGCAGAAUCAUAUUCAGUGAACAUGUUCAGGGCAAAAUAUUUGUUCAAGCUUCCAAGCUCAGAAACUUCCAACUAUCCAAAGUUUUAGUAUAUAUAGCAAUAACUCCUAAACCUCUUUCUGCAUACCCAACUACAGGAGGCCAACCAACACAAGUGCGAGCGUGGGAUCUUUCUUUAUCACCAAAGUAAAAAAUAUGAGCACACCAAAAGUUGAUUUUGUGUCAUAAGAUGAACCUAAACAACGUGUAUAUAUAUAAAAUUAUAUACAUAAACAAACCAAGUGCAAUCAUGGACAACAGUAUGUAGAACAAAUCCAAGUAUGACCAAUUCAUAUAUAUAUAUAUGCAUUAACAUUUUUACUGCAUUCAGAGCUCAUGUACAUACGAUCUUUACUUCCUAUUGGGUGAUAAAUUUGCAAGUCGAAAGAUACAAGCAGCCAAAUAUCAAAACCAAACUUCCUGAAACAGUAUGGUAACCAGGUAAUUUAUAGUCAAAUCAAACUUCGAUAAUCUUCUAUACAAACUGAGUACGAACUGAUAUUUCCAUUUCGGACCCUUGUUUGAGACUUCUAGCAUUUUCUUGAUUCAAGCAGAAGAUGAGAUCAUAUUCCAUCCAAACCACAUGCAAGUUGAAGAAGAUACCGUAACCAGUAAGAUGGCAGAACAGAAACCAAGUAAGAUGCUUCAGGACAGUUGAAAGAAUCAGAUGUGCACACUACCAACUCCAAGCUGCACCAAAGAUAUGAGGCCACUGAAUGCAAGUUCAAACUGAAAACUACCACAAAGACCAUAUCAUUAUGCUUCAGGAUCACUAAUCAGAAGUCAAAACCAUCAGGGAAGCCCGUUUGCUUUCACCAAGUCCCAGCGCUGACUGACUACCCAACUCUACAAUCUUGCAAUAAAAACUUCAAUAAUGCAAAUCAAUGAACGGCCCAAAUGACAGGCAUACUUAUAGUUUCUUCAAGGAAAAUCAGACCAUAAUAAAAUCUGGGAAAUCAGUUGAAACAAGCAUCGAGUCCAGGUUUAAGUUUUUAUUUUGUGGUCGAGGAAGAUUCCUCCAUCCAGAACGAAGCUCCCAAACAGCCAUCAGACAAACAUAAAUCAAGGAACUAAGGUAUAGCCACUCAAAUCUGACGUCACCAAGCACAGAUGAGGAAUCCAGCAAAUCAAUGUGACCAAACAUGGGAAACUGACCUGCCUCAAGUACCCUUCACCAUAUGUUCACACACCAUAUGAAGCUUCAUUUCCAGACCAGAUCGAGAUCCAGUCCUGCAAGCUAAAUUGUAGAGACCAUAACAAAUUAAACAAACAGACUGUCUACAAGAAUCUGACCUGACUCCAUGUACAGAGCGGUUUGGGCCCAAACUCCUAACUAUUAUAUCUUGCCAACCCACACUCACAGAAGACCUAGAGAGCACAGGGAUCAAGAGUACAGAUAACAACCAUGGGGAGCUAGUCACUGCCCACAUGGCCUGGGCUAAAGAACAAUCUGCAACCAUAGGAAGGGCAGGGGCAAAAACCUAUAUCAAAGCGAUGGCCAAGUAACUAAUAAAUGAAAUAAAGAAAAUAGGAAGGUAAGAGUCUUCUUCGGUUGUAGGAUGUGCCAUUAGUUGAAAGCUCUGGAUUAUCCUUAUAUUUGUUUUGCAUAUGAAUCUGUAUUUAAAAUAUUGUCUUAUAAGAUAAUUUAUAGGUUAUAUAAGACGAUACUAGUAGAUUUAGAAAAUCAGUAGAUGGAUUUACCGGGUUGGAAAGGAGUUCUUCAACUACAACCUGCAGCGAGCAAGAGGCCUUUUCUAUAAAUUUUUGGUUAGGGGAAAUGCUGCUUAUAUAUAAAUAGCUAAAGCAUGGAUAAAACGAUGAGCGGGAACAAGUAAAAGCCUGUCUAGGGUCAGGUAUGGAUGAUGGACGACAACAACGCCAGUUCCAAACUGCAGAUUCCUUUCCAAGUCGGUAUCUGCAAGAGCUGAGAAUUACCAAGGCAAAGAAAACCUAAGGUCUAGAGAGUUCAAUUAUAGAGUAAAAAGGUUGAAAAGUUUUAGCCAUAGAAGGAACUGCCACGAUGCAAAAUAGGACCGCCUUCUAAGGCGUAUUAUUCCAAUUUCUGGAGAGCCACCAACAAAUAGUUCAAAUUAGAAUUGUGGGAAACCAAAACAGAACAGUGGAGACGAAAGAGCAAAACAGAGGGAGUGAUAAUUAUCCAAACGCAAAGCAGAGCAAGAUGUGUCUCUCCGCUAAGCCAUAUAAUUCCAAUUUCUGGAGAACCAACAUAUCCAAAAAUAUCCUGCGGCCCAGACUUCCUAAAUAUAUCCUGCAACUGAUAACACGCAGAAGACCAGCACAGGGAUCAAGAGUACAAACAACAAAUCCAUCCAGAAAGAGAGAUAGACCGCAAACCAAAUGAUUUAACAGAUUCCGACUCACAACCAGCAUGGUUUGGGCUCAAUCUGCAAACACCAAAGGGAGGGUAGAAAGAAAAACAUAAAUUAAAGACACAAGCAAGUAGCUACGUGAAACAAAAAAGUAAGAGGUGGGUUAAAAUAGUCUUUUUCAUUGUAGGAUGUUCCAUUAGUUUGAUUCUCCUUUGUUGAACCUUUGCAGAUCUGUAUUCAAAAUAUUUCCUGGUAAGAUGAUUUUAAAGGUUAUCUAAGUUAUGAUGACUUGAGGAAAUAGUAGAUUUAGAAGAACUGCAAACAGAUUCAACUCAGCACCAGGUUCGACUUGAGUUCAUCAACUACGACCUGCAACAAGGAAGAUACCUUUCUAUAAGAUAGGAGGAAAACUAGGCUCAGCUAAAGCAUGCAUCAAAUGCUGAGGUGAAGGUUAAGUAAGAGGUAAAGGGUAAGUAAGCCUGUCUCGGCCACGAAGGUCAGAUAGACAACACUGGUUCCAAUUAUUUCGGUUCCAAGCCAGCAUCUGCAAGAGCCAAGAAUUACCAAGGAAGGCUAAGAAACAAAUAUCUAGAAAGUUCAAUUAUCAAGGGAGGACAAAAGGUCAGAUAUGUUGGGCCACAGAAAGAACCGCCAUGCUGAGGAAACAUAGGAUCACCCGCUAAGCCGUAUAAUUCCAAUUUCUGGAGAACCAGCAACAAAUCUAAAUCAGAAUUGUUGGACAACUAAUUGAGCUGAGAAGAAAUUAAGCAGAGAGUAAUGAUCAUCCAAACGCAGGUCAGCAAGAAGAUAGGUCACUCCCGCUAAGCCAUAUAAUCCCAAUAUUUGGACAACCAGCAACAGAUCCAAAUCAAACUGUGGGGGACUAAAGUUGAAUUGUGCAGAGACUUAAAUAUAGGGGGUUCAUAAUCAUCCAAACACUGAUCAACAAGAAGAUAGGUUGCUCCUGCUAAACCUUGUUAAGCUCAAUUUCUGGAAAACCACAAAUGGAUUCAGAACUGCCAAGGACUAAAUUGUACUGCACAGACCAAAUAAAUUGAAUCGAGAUGAAAUUCAUUAUCCAAAUGCAGAUCACAAGUUUCAGGUUGGCAAGAAUCCUAAGCUUCAUUAUCCAAUCAAUCAAAACGACAAACAGAAACCAAACCUCCACCCUAUGAUUCAUCUGUGCAGAACUACUACACUCCUGCAUCUGCUGCAAGCAAAGGAGCACAAACACACACCAAGAGUGCGAUCAGCUGCUACAAUAAGAAUCUACCAGGACCUCCAAUCCACCUCAUAUUAGCUGAUGAUGCGUGAUGAGAACCAGAAGACCACACCGGCGAUAGCCAUUUAAAUCUGACCUGCUCAAAUCCCCUUCCGACAUACAACAUCAUAGGGAUCUCCACAUUCCAGAUCCAAUCCUGCAACCAAUGUGUGGAGGAACACAACUAAACCAAACAAACCGUUGAUAGAACACUGACCUGACUCACUGUAAAGAGAUUUGCCCAUAAGCACAAACUUCCUAAAUAUGGCCUGCAGUCGACAGGAUAAGUGUACAGAUAACAAAUUGAAACGCAUAGAGAUAGAUUGCAAACCAAACGAUUUUAACAGAUUUCGACUCACUGCCAACACUCUCUGGGCUAAAAUAAAUCUGCAAUCACAGGGGCAGAAGCAAAAAAGCCUAAAUCAAAGGCAUGAACAAAGUAGCUACGUGAUAUAAAGAAAAAGAGGCAAGAGUUAAAAAUGGAGGAGUCUCUUUUUUGUUUGUAGGUUUUGCCAAGUUUGAAGCUCCAUUCGUGAACCUUUGAGAUAAAUCUGAAUUCAAAAUAUUGCCUAGUGAGAAGAUCUUAAAGGUUAUCUAAGUAAUAAUGAAUUGAUUAGAUUUAGAAAGAACUGCAAACAGAUUCAACUCAGCAUCAGGUUGGACUUGCAUUCGUCAAACCUGCAACGAGCAAGAUACGUCUCUGUAAAUUAGGGGGAAACUAGGCUCAACUGAAGCAUGCUUCAAACGAGGAAGAGGUAAAUGCUAUAUGAGGAAGUUGGGCUGGGAAGGUCAGGUAGACAGCACAACACCGAUUCAAAUUAUAUCCCUUCCAAGAUGGUGUCUGCAAGAGCUGAGAAUGACAAACUAAGGCAGAGAAACUUGUCUGGUAUGUUCCAAUUAUAUUAUUGACGAGUAAGAAAAUGUCGAGCCACAGAAGAACCGCCGUGACGAGGGAAAAUAGGGCCACCCGCUAAGCCGUAUAAUUCCAAUAUCUGGAGUACCAGCAACAAAUACAAAAUCCAAAUCAGAAUUGUGUGUUGUGUGAAGACUAACUGAACUGUGGAGAAAAGAAAAUGAACAGAAAGGGAAUGAUCGUCCAAACACAGGUGAGGAAGAUGACAAGUCGCUCCCGCUAAGCCGUAUAAUCCCAACUUCUGGACAACCAUCAACAAAUCUAAAUCAAAACCGACUAAGAUUGAACUGUGUAGAUGGAGGAAUUAAAUAGAGGGGGCAAUUAAUCAUCCAAACGCAGAUGUUGCUCCCGGCUCCUGCUAUGCUGUGUAAUCCAAAUUAUAAUUCCUGGAGAACCAACGAAUUCAGAUCAGAAUUGCCGUUGACUAGUGUGCAGACCAAGAAACUAAAAUUGGGAGGGAUUUAUAAAUAUUAAACGCGGAUCGCAGGUUCAGGUUGGUAAGAGAUCCUAAGCUUCAUCACCCGAGAAGAUCUGACCAUAUCAGGACAGCCGCUGAACCUCAACCAAUGAAUCAAAAUAAUCAUGAGAAGAGAUCAAACCUCCACCUCUGUAGAACUAGCGCACCCUCUGGCUUCCUCUGCAUCUACAUAGGGUGAGAGGACAAAGACAUACCAAAACCGAGAUCAGCCGGUACAACAAGAAUCCUCCACGAGGGCCUCGAAUUAACACACCCCGCACUAACGGAUGACACGGAAUAAACCACAGCCCUCGGGGAACCAGAAGAUCACACGGGCCAUAUUCAUUUCAAAUCUGGAAUCACGGACGAACGCAGGUGACGGAACCAAGGAAGCGAUCUGAACGAGCACGGGAAACUGACCUUGCCUCGGCCUCCGGCUCCAUAAUUAAGCCCCAAUUCCAAAAACCACGCACGAUCCUUCAACCUGCACGCGCGGAUGCGAACACGACGAGAAACACAUGAUCCACAGUUGCAAACAGAAGCGGACACGCGAAACAGAUUCUGAGAUAGACUCGCAAACCAAACGGAUGAAUCCCCCGAUCGAUCGCUUCCCGAACUCGCACGGAAGCGGAGGAGAGACAAGUCGUCGAAUUCGAAUCCCCUGCGAGCACAUCAAGGCAACGGCGACGGCGGGUGAAUGAAAUAAAAUCAGACGCGACGAAUCGUCACGAGGAAAAGAGAAAUUGGAAGGGGAAGGAAACAGUCGCUCAAACGCGAGGAGGCGCGGCACGUCACGAACGAGAAAGGUCGGAGGAGAGACGGGGCCGGAGCGCGGGGAGGAGAGGGCGCACCUGGGCGCGUUUUAUAGCCGGCGCGGGAGGGGGAGCCGGCCUG